AAAAAUCUCACAUGGUCCCUGCAACUCUAGUGCUGAUGUGGGAGUUAUCAUCCUCAUCGAGCUUGGCUAAACCAAAAUCGGAAAUCCUUGGAUUGAGGUCUUUAUCAAGAAGAAUGUUGUUGGGUUUUAUGUCUCUAUGAACAAUUUUCAACGUGGAUUCUUCAUGCAGAAAAGCCAAGCCUCUUGCUAUACCAAUACAAAUUCUUUGUCUGGUUUGCCAGUCCAUUUUUAAUUGCCUUUCCUCUGGUCCUGUUCCUGAUAAUACGAUUCAAUUAAGUGUGUGCAUUGAUUUUAAAUACUAAAUUUGUAUAUUAGACAAGAUUUUAAAGAAUGCACAACGCAGGCAUAAAUUUCAAUUACCAUAUAAAGCGCGGGCAAGGCUAUUGUUCUCCAUGUAUUCAUAAACCAGCACUAAAUGGCUUCCCUCAAUGCAACGUCCAUACAAUUUUACGAGAUUUGGAUGCUGUAAACUAGAAAUCAUGCCUAUUUCAUUCACGAAUUCACGGUUCCCUUGAUUUGAUUUGGAAGAUAGCUGCUUGACAGCAAUUACACUACCUUCCAAUAGUAUACCCUGCAAAUGAAGCAUUAUAGUACCACAGACAUGCACGCAUAUAGAAAUGUUAGAAAAAUAUAAGCGCGAAGGUAUAGACAAAGUAUAAGAGAGAAAAGUUGGAAGUUAAUAUUUCUACAUACCUUGUAGAUAGAUCCAAAACCACCUUCCCCAAUUUUAUUUACAGCAUCAAAGUUGUUUGUGGUGGCUUUGAUUUGUCUAAAAGUAAAAAAGCCAGUCCGCAAAUCUAAUCUCCUUAGUUCUAGAAAAGAACAAUUUUUAGAUGUUGAAUUCAUUGUAAGCUAUAUAGUUAAGGAUUUCGUCAUCUCUCUUUUUCUCUAUGCAGUACACUAGAAUAUAUUUUAGUUUUUCUUUGAUCUAUUGCUUGGCCAUGGUCACAUCACCACGAAAAAGUUAUUUAUCCUAAAUUUGAGAGUAACUUCCAUAGUUGUCAUCUGAUGCAUUACUACUGUAAGACUAUCCAUAACAUUAUAUAUGACAAUUCAAUAUUUACAUUCUUGCUUAAAUACUAAGAAAGGUCUAUUUGUUCACCUUCUUCCCUUGAGAUCCUGCCUCCUAUAUAGCCUUUCCACCAUGAAAAAAUAAGAAUAAUGAGAAUGAAAAAAAUUACCAAAGCUGUUACUCCUGUUGGGAUGAAAAUAUUCUUUCCUUCGGAUGGAGACUUAAAAUCUACAUAAUGAAAGAAAUAAAGAAUAAUUUGUUACAUGGUGUUCAGUUUGCUAGCUAGCACCAGAAAAAAAUUACAUAAAGGAAUUGGUAUAGGGAAUUUGAGAACAAUAACAAGUGAAAAAGAACGAUAAUAGAUUAAUUAAUCGAGUACUAAUUUAAGUGCCAUCAACACCUGAGUCAUGUUGCUUAAGUUGCAAAAGAUUAUGUGGUUGUGCAGAUAAGAUGUAUAUUUUCUCAAAUAAAUAGAUAAAAAAAAAAUCUUAAGAGAGAUAGAGGUGUUUUGAGGAUAAAUUUAAUGGUAUUACACAAACAAUCUUACCAGAUUCCACAGAAAUGGCAGAUAUCAAAGGGCCAUAUACUCUUCCGAAAGGGAUGGCUAUUGAUCCUUUCCCAAAAUAGUAAAAUCAGAUAUCCAGAGUUUUAUUCUUAACUAUCGCAUUAAAUUGUUUUUUCACAGCUUUAUCAACUCCUUUCGCAUCCUUCUUAAUAUCAAAAUCUUUCAAUUUCAGUUCAUCCUAUAUUACGUUGAAUAAGUUUGAGUCAAAUUGCAACAGUAAAUGGCACUAAAAAGAACUGUUUAUUUAUUACUUGACCUGGAUAUAAACGUCAAACAUCCGUCUCCCAAGACUCUGGAAAGAGUUAUUAUCUCUAAAAAUUAUCUCUGCAAAGUGAAGUGUCACAGUGUAGUUUCCAUUUACUAAGCAACGCCCGUAAUAAGUGAGAGAUAAAGGAGAUAGACGAGCAUCUGCAUAGAGUUCAGAGUCCUUCAUUUUUAGCACAGAUACAUUGUAGGCUUUAUAGUGAUUCUUGAACCAAGGAAAAUGUCCUGUACUACUAGUUCCCCAGUUCUCUUUUGAGUGAACAAAUUGUACUGAACCUCCUGUUUGUACAUCAUCUUCAAUUUUUUUGUUGCCAAUAGUAACUUCCCCUCCACCACAGUUUACAUAAAAGGAAUACCAAUCUAUGAAAAACCAAAGCAUAUUAAGUUUUCUAGAACAUCUCCAAAAGACUCUUCAAACAUAAAAUUUCUCUAUUUUAAAGAAUCAAGCCUUAAAGUUAUGCUUCAAGAGACUAUUUAAUUUAACAUUUUAAUUUAGAGAGAGUUUGACUCUCCAAAUUUAGAGAGUCAAACACGCUCUUUAUAAUUUAAUGCAUUUAAAAUAUUUCAAUUUUCAGUGAAAAAUAAUAUAAUAAUUUAGAGGAAAGCUAGUGAAAAUAAAAGACAAGAAAAAAACAAUAAAUAUUUUUCUGAAGUAGUAAAAUUAAUUAUUAUAUAUAAAGAACUUGUUGAAGUACUUAAAAAUUUUUACUCCCUAAAUUUAAAUGUUCUUUGUCGCGGAAGCUCGUUCGAAGAUCUUAGAAAUGGUGAAUUUCGGGCUCAGUUUUUAGUUAUAUUUCUCUACCAAACAACCAAUUUACACUACUCCAACCCACAAUCAGUAUAUUUAUCUCGAUUGCUCCUCAAUCUCACCCACAAAGAAUAAGGUAACAGUGAUGAUUUAUAGGCCACAAAGGCAUGAGAAAAACAACGAAAAAGGCAAGAGAAUGGACCAAAAUACACAAGAUGAAGGCACUGAUUUUCUCUCUAUAUGGCAACUGGCCUUUCCAGGAAGAAGCAACCACAUUUUUCCUCAUUUUCAUAAACAAAUCAUACACUAACGGCAAGGGGAAAAAGCAACAUAUAUAUAGGGUUAGGUUAGGUUUUAGUUGGACCAAUAAGGGUUAAAUGGGCCAAAAUUCAAAGCUAUCUAAGAGGCAAUAUAUAUGUGCUGUGAGUAGCUCUAAUUUCUUAAGCUACUUCCUACAGUCCAUAUUGUUUUUAGGUCGCGCUUUUAGACUUAAUUGUUGGUAACAAUUUCACUCAUUGACCAAUACCUAUGAAACUCAAUCUAACAUUUAAUAAUCAUAGCCAAAGAUUUAUUGGGUAUCAAAACUCAACAAAUCUUCACCUUUAUACCCAAUCAACUUACAAGUAAUCAAAAUACAAAGUUAGUACUUACACAAUCAAAGUAGCUAAUAAAAUUAGGAUCACAGACUUUACCUCGUGUUUUGGACCCGAAACACAUACCAUACCAACUUUACGUACUCACCAGGGCUAUAGUCUUAAAGAAAUACCCACAGAUCUUUUCAAACCCAUGUUCGCACAGAACAAAAGAUUAACACCAAGCUAAUCAACAAACGGUUAACAUAUAUACAACAAAUGCAUAAAUGACCACAUGAAAAGAUCUUACCACACUUAUCCUAUCCCAUUUUUGUUCCCCUCUCAUUGCCCACCAUGUUUACUAAACUGAUCACUCAAUUCAUGUCUAACUCAUAAAUCAAAAUAGGUCCUAAAUUCAUAGGAUAAUCCUAUAUCACCAUAUUUCCAACCUACGUGGAUAAAUGAUUCUCCACCUAACAUAAGUGAUAGAAGUAUAUCUCUUACACUCCACAUGAUCAUGAUUUUCUCAGUUAAAGAGUUCCAACAUUUAAUCACAUUUUCACUCGUGAUCAAAAUGUCACAUCUCACAUUCCUGGUACAAACCACCAAUGUACCCCUAGUCAUCUAUACUCCACCUCACCAAUAGACACACAACACAAUUAUUGCUAUUACAUCCUAAUCCACUAUGUAUGCAAACAAUUAUACCAAAUAAUCACAUUGCUCUCAAAUUCAUACAAUGACACAUAGAAAUAUCAUAUAACUAUGCAACAUAAUUAAGCAAUCAUACAUGCAGAAAGGAGUACACACAUUUGCACAUGCAAUAACUAGGUUUACUCUCAAUAAACCUCACUAUGAUUAUCACUCGACCUUAUAGCCAUAUUCACCUCACCUCUCAUCUUACCCUUCUGCUUAUCCCCUUUUUUGGGACAACCUCUCACAAAGUGUUUAGACUUACCAAAGCUGUAACAUUAGUUACCACUAGACUUAUCCCAACCUUUAACCUUUUUUUUUUUUUUUUAACCACCGUCAACACUCGAGUCACCACUUAAAUCACAACUAUCUUGAUUUCUUCCCAAAUUUAUAUUUUUAAACUUCAUUCUACUCUUCAUUAUAUAUAACUUACAACUCCUCUUAUCCUCCUUUUCAGCCUUAAUCUCCAUUUUCUUAUUGUUAAGAGAAUCUAUGGCAAUAUCGGGUGUUAAGAUGUCACUACUAUAUUUAAUUGCAUUCUUAACCUCUCUAUAUGAAUCAUGUAUUGAAUUAAGCAAAAUAAUGGCAUGAUACGUUUCAUACACCUCCUAUCACAGUUAAAAUUAUAUUGAACCAGCUUGUUAAAAACAUCUAAAAAUAUAUUGAACGAGCUUGGCAAGGAUUCAUUUUAAAAUUGAAAAAUCUAUUGAGCAGACGCAAUUUAUUAGGAGUAGACUUAAGCAAAUAUAAACCCUCCAACUUUUUUCAAAGUUUUUUUAGUAGAAUCAAGUUUUUCAUUUUUUCUCAAAAUAGUGUCUGAUAGGUGUAAAAUAAUUAAAGUGUAAGUAAAUUUAUCCUAUUCUUCUUUUCGUGCUUCCGUCAAAUUUGCUGGAAAUUUGCUAUUUAUGACUUUUGAAACUUUUUGUUGAACUAAAAUCUUUUCAUUUUUUGUUACCUAAUAGAAAAUUCCCCUUUCUUAUUGAGAAUUUCAACUUCAAAAUGUGAUGACAUUUUGAAAAACAGAACAACUAAAGUGCACAAAUAUGUCACACAAAGUAAUCAUAAGGACGCAAUAUAUAUCAUUAUAGAUUCCCAGGGUUUCGUGAGACUUGAGAUCUCAGUAUCAAGGAAAUGUUCAAAUGGGUUAAUACUAGGUGUUCUAACAGAAUAACCAAUGUAACACGAAGGUAUAUCAACAAAAAUUUAGUUUUUCACACAAUCCAGUCUCACACAGUGACUAAAUGGCAACUAGAGCACAAGGAUAAUUAUCAACUUACUGUCCAAUUCAACACUUCAAAUAUGGUAAGUAAUGCCUAAAUUUCUAGCACAAUCAAUGGUUACCUACAUGGUAACGCCAAUCCUGAAGUAGAAAUUUAAAUUGGGAUAAGCCAAUAAAUCAGAGUGAACCAAUCUCAGUCCAUAAAUAAUGAGAGAUGCGAACUUACACUUUUGGGCCACCACUACUUGCCAUAAAGUUUCCAUCAAUCGCAGAAAUCAAUCAACCAUGAUCGAAUCCCGAACACACGAAGGAUAAAUUUAUCCAAAUUCCACUGUAUAAAUUUAAACAGAAAACUAAUAACAUCAAAAUGUCAGGAUCAAAUUACCUGAAAAGACCUCUAUCUAAAACCUUCGCAUGCGCCCUCAAGCGCCACCAACAGCCUUUGUGCAUGGGAUUCACGCACCGGCCACUCUGGUGCGCCUUCACGUGCACGUCACACUAGUAGUCUCCAUUUCACCAAAAUCAUUUUUGUUUGAUCAGAAAUCAUGAAAACAUCCUCGAUUUUUGUGUAAUUUUCUAGACAAUUUUGCAAUCUAUUUUUUGCUUCGUUGAAAGCCAAUUUUCUGUCAAUUUUUCGAGCCAAAUCUAUUACUUGAAGCUUUGAUACCAAUUGUCAUGGAAGCUUUCUCCAAGAUCUUCGAAACGGUGAUUUUCAAGCUCAGUUUUACGUUACUUUUCACUACAGAUCAAUCCACACAGUCCAACCUACAACCAAUAUAUUCACUCGGUUCCUCCUCAAUCUCACUCACAAAUGACAAGAUAAUGGUGAUGAUUUGUAGGCCACUAAGGCACGGGAAAAUUGACGGAAAAAAGCAAGAGAAUGGACCAAAAUACACAAGAUGAAGGCACCGAUUUUCUCUCUCUAUGGGAGCCGAUUUUACAUGAAGAAGCAGCCAUGUUUUUCCUCUUUUUCAUACACAAAUCAUAUACUAAUGGCUACAGUAAAAAGUAACAUAUAUAUAGGGUUAUGUUAGGCUUUAGUUGUCCCAAUAAAGGGUUAAAUAGGUCAAGAUUCAAAGCUAUUCAGUAGAUAAUAUAUAUAGAUCGUGAGUAGCAUUAAUUUUUAAGCUACUUCCAAUUGUCCAUGUUGUUUUCGGAUCAAGCCUUUGGACUUGAUUGUUGAUAAUAAUUCACUCAUUGACCAAUGCCUAUGAAAUUGAAUCCGAUGUUUACAUCGCAGCCCUAAAUUCAUUGAGUAUCAAAAUCCAACACUCUAAAUUGUAGAAUAUGCUCUUGAGUGUAAAACAGAUAAAAGUGCUAUAACUAUAUACGAUAUAUUACAUUACUACUGUAUUCUUUUUGUUUUUAGUUUUCAACUUGAGCACAAAAAAUGAUAUUGCAAACUUGUUGGUAUACUACGCUUGGAUGAUGAGAUUCGUGUAAACAAUCAAGGCUGAGCUUGUAAAAUGAAGUACUUACCCUUUCAACAAGGAGUGAGGCACUUCCCCUGUUCUCUAUAUGAAGUCAUAUGGCAAGGGAGCAGAAUGAAUAAUAUGAUAUACAAAGUUAUGUUUAGAUUACAAUAAUCUUAUCUACAUAAGAAGCAACUUAAAAACUGUUUUCUCCACUAAAGCUUCUGAACAAGUUUCUGACGCAGAAAGAAAGGGAAAAAACAAAUUGAAGUUAUGAAAAACAUACAGAAAGACAGCAUACGAAGAAAAAUUGGGGCUUACAUAUUGUUCCUGCAAAUUGAUGGAUCAGAGUCUCAUUGAAGUUAUUGUAAGAAUGAUUUACGUGGCUGCAAAUGCAUUUAAUAUCUCUUUAAGAACUUAUUUCAAUCCUCUAAAAUUAAUGAAAGAAAAGAAUCCAUAAAUUACAUAGUGAUAGAUGUCCACCAGUAUGUAGUAACUAAAGUAAAAAUGAGAUUGUUUUCGAACUUAUGAGACUAGUCCUGUAUCUUAAGGUGAGCUUGAACAACAAUUGUAUGUCUGGAUAUAAAGAUGUCAAUAGAGGUCCUGAGAGAAAUGGGAAAAUUCCAUUUCUGUAUAAAUUUGAGGACAUCGUCAUUUAUGAUGGACAAUGCUACUAUUAAAUCACAUAGAUAAUCUUAUAGACGCUAAAUAAUAAGAAAUAUAGAAGUGAACUUACAGCUCUUCACUUAUGCUUUGGAUCCACUUUGGAAUUUGCCCACUGAUAAGAGUGUAAAAUACCAUAUUUUCCCCUCUUAACUAUUGCAUUCAUGUGAUUAUAUUCUGCCAAAAUGCAUUCAUUACUCUUAUAUUUUGGUUUAGGUUGCAUUUUGGUGAAAAAGAUGAAAUUCGGAAGAUACAAGUGAAAAAUGAACAGAGUAGAAGAGAACGAAAGUUCGAGGACUAAAGUGCAAAUGAUCCAAACUUGUGUCCAAGAUUAUGAUGAAGAUUCGAAAGUUUUAGAGGUCAAGUGGAUGAGAAAAGAAGUCAAAGGGAUGAAAUAACAUCAAAGUUUGAUCAAUACAUCAAUUUCCAAUCGAAAACUAACACACCAGUUUUUAGUCUCAUGUUGGGACCCAUUUUUGACAUGGAAGAUGAUAGAAUUGGGAGAUGACUUCUGAAUAAAAAUUGUGGCCCUUUGAGUUAGCUAUCCAAUGCAACUUGAAUCACCUCAAUUGGAUAUCGGAAAAGAAAGGUAUGAUUAAAACACUGAAAGCUGUCUGGCGGAACCUUGCGGCCGCAUGCCUUUCUACUAUGCGGUCGCAUACACCUAUACCGAGAAUUCAAGAGGCUGAAAGUGCAUAACCAUGCGACCGUAAUGACAAUAACCAUGCGGUCGCAUAGUGUUUUUUUGGCGGCCGAAUCUCAGUUUCCUUAUACGAUUGAAUCUCUUAUGGUAACCUAAUUUUCACGGGAUAUAAAUGCCCAAAACCAUCCAGAACGAAGGGAGACGCCACCAGACCUAUUUCUUUCAUCUUGGUGCUCAAGAAACUCCAUGGAAAACUAAGGAACUCGGUGAAGCAACGAAGGAACUCAUUGGAUUUGGAGAUUUCACGUCAUAAUUUCAUGUGAUUCGAACUCUCUUUGCUUAAUAAUUUCUAGAUUUGAAUCUUCUCGUUAUGAAUUAGUAUUGAAAUUUGUUUAACUUUUAAUAAAUUUCUCAUGGAUUCAGUCAUGUUUUUUCCAUUGUUAAAUUAAACUAUUUGUUGAGUUUCAAUUUAAAUUACUUAUUGUUGAGAUUAUUUUAACUUUUAUCAAAUCCUUCAUAGAUCUAGCCAUGCUCUUUCUAUCGAAUGAUUGAAAUAAUUGUUGAAUUUUAAUCUUAAUAUCACUUUAUUGGCGGAUUGAUUACUGCCUUAUGCCUGACGUAUAUGGUCGAUUUUUGAUCUUGUUCCAAUAAAAAUGUGCGAAUGUGUUAUAGAAAAUCUAGAUUCUAGAAAUAUAAUUGGAAUAAAAUUGGACUUCACUGUUAAAUCUUCCAAUUAGAGAGUUUGGAAGAAAACCUCUAAUUGAGUAAAAAUACAUGAAUUAUUGAUGCUGAUUGAUCCAAUCCAAUGGGGGAACUCCGACGCUUCACUAAUUCGCAUAUUGAUAAUUAAUUUUUAUUCCAAGUGACAAAUCAUUCCCACAUUUAAUUACGAAAACCCUAGUUUGUUUGAUCUUUUGAGAAAUUUUCCAUCUCCCUGUGGAUACGACACCCCAAAGUUGUACUACAAUAACCGCAUUAUUCUUUGGGCGUAAUCACCCACUGAGAAAGUUACUAGUCAGAAACCUAAUCACAAACAUAAAAUCCAAAUGAAAUCAAAAUUAUACAUUUAGAUGACAGGACAGAACAUCAUGAAAGAACAAAAGUAUGGCCUAGUAGAGUAUAUGAAUGACACUUGAACACUAAGGAUUGAAUAUGAACUGGACAUCCUUAUGUUUGGUUACAGUGGUCCUUAUUACUUGUUUUGGAAAUAAAAAGUAGGAUUUAGGAUAUGAACAUGAACAAAGUCUUCCAUUAUCACGCUUCAAUGACAGGUGAAUAACAGAGCAAAGCUUUUGUACAAAUCAAUUGAAUAAUAUCAUACUAAUUCACUUACAAGUUCGUUAGACUUGGUAGGCGAUCAAAAUCUGGAACCUCUCCUUUUAAGUUGUUAAAGCUCAGAUCUCUGUGAAUACACCACACGAACAUCUUACGACCAAACGCAUAUUUUCUCAGCUUAACAAUAUGGCAGUGCAUAGUUAUCUUAACAUAGAAAAGUAAACCUAAAUUUUGUAUGAUAUCCAGAAAGAAAGAAAAAAGAUCGGCACAAAAGCAAUGGAAGCAUAGGAAAACAAACAAAAAUUACAGGAUUUUCUAAUGUAGAUUGGGAAAAACUAAUGUGGCAAGCUCUUGGAUGGUACGAAACUUCACAAUCUGAAAAUGCACAUGGUACGUCCUCCAUAUUUUUCCAUAGCCAGGUCUCCACCACAAGUACAUAUUUUAUUACAAGCAGUAGGUUUUUGUGGCAUGGAGUACAACAAAUUCGUGUUUUUGGUCACUAUCUUCAACAAGUAACAAUAUAAGUGUCAAAUAUACUCAAUGAUAAUCAAUAAUACUCGAUGUCCUUCAAUGUGAGAUGUUCUCUUAGUGUAUAAAAUUAAAAUCACAAAUAAAUAUGGUAGCUAUCAAUUAUAAUUAUUCAUUAAUGGUAACUUAUUAAAUAUGGUAGUCCUUAUUUUUCACUAACAUCCCCUCUCAAAUCUCAAAUUGAUGCUUAUUAAUUUGCAAUCAUAAGUUGACGGUGGCGACAUUGCUCGUGCGCACGAAAAAGAUAUCCAAAUCAAAGUAAUCAUCUACGGAACAUUGUGACAACGAGAGAGCAAGAACAAUAAAUAGUACAGAAACAUCCAAAAACUACCUCAAGAAUAUUCCAAAACCACUCUAGAGAGUUCACAGCCCAAGAAGAAUUUCAAAAAGAAAUUCUUGAAGUGUACCGAUCACACAAUGAGAUCGGGAGAACUCAGUCAAACACAUAAUUAGUAUUCCAUCAAAAUCUCUAAUGGCCAAUAUACCAGCCAAAAAUCUAGUAAUAUAUCACUGACCAGGACGCUAUAGUUGGAAGAAAUAUCAGAAAACAGCCUGCACACAAAAAAAAAAAAAAACAAAGAUGAUCUGAGAACCCAAAAUUCUUGCUCGUCACCCAAGCAACCAAAGCUCCACCCAUGUCUCUCUCAUCCCAAUGACCAAUCAAUAUGAUUGCCAAGCUCCUUAUUGGAAGCAAAUCAAGCCACAUCCAUGUCGCCCACAAAGAGAAACCACAAUUUAUAGUCCAAUUGCUCACAACCCGUAACUACCUAGCCCAUUUUUAAUCAAGUUAUACACUCAUGUCCAAAAGCCAAGCCUACUUUCAACAAAUCCCUAACCUAUUCACAAAGCCUAGAAUAAAAUACUACUUAUUCAAAAUUGUUGAGGCCCAUAAUCAUCCAUUAAAGUCUUCAAAACCUAACCCGUUCAUCAAAUAAUAACGACGCCCAAACCAAUAAAGCAGCAGGCCCACCUACAAAUCCAUGACUCAGUGUCUUUUUUUAUCCCAUUCGCUUAAGAAUCUUCAGAUCUCUGCCAAAAAUCCAUUAAUUUUACUCUCACUAGUAACACUUCCUCUCUUUAAUCUGACGGUCUUGGAUUGAACUGAUACACAUUUUAUGCGCAAAUUAACAUAGUCGCAUUCACAGAAGUGUGAUUGUGUGUGAGAUGGCGUGUAAAGGAUUGUAGAAAAGUAAUGGGGUCUAGGAUAAAAAUCAAAUUCCAAUAAGAAUUCUCUCUACUUCUCAUGAUAAAGAUAUGUUGGCUGGUACUCCACCUCAGAAUUCCCAAUCAUUGACGAGCCUCUACACCUCAGAAUUGCUAGCAUUCAACGAGCAAUAUGGUGAUCCAUGGUCGACUAAUAGCUCUCUCUCAUCUUCAGCAAUUUCUCUGCGUUGAGAGAUCCGGCCCCUGGGUCGUCUAGUGGACUACUGGACUCGAAAAUGGUGACUGAAAUUUCCAUUUUUUCUAGAAUCGGUUGUUCCUGAAAUCCCACUGCCUAUGACAGAUUGGAGGCGAUGCUUUACAUGUCAGCAACGGCAGCAAGUAUGCUUGGUUCUGUUCAGUUCAUAGCAAUUUACAAGAUCGAACACAAGGAAUAUGGAUAGGGUCCACAGCAGCGGGGGCAAACUUGUCCUAACCUUUCUCUUCCAAUUAACUUUUCUCUCUGUAUCGCUUGAAACUCUUCGCAGAUUAAUUGCUUCACUGCUUUGGUGAAGUACUUAACUUAGUUUGGUGGUGAGCACACAAUUCAUCUUUUACCUCACUGUGAACGCCUGAGUAUCAAUAGGAGCGACAAAACCUAUUUCUUCUGUGCUAAACAAUUGAACUAAAUAUUUCUUAGGGUUAAGUGCUCUCUCUCAGUCUUCAGGUCACUAUUGCUUUGGCUGUUCUACCUCCGCCCACUGUUGAGACGGUUGUCGAUGAUGCAAUUAGAGAGAAAGAAUAGAGAAAUCACUUGAGGAUGAAUUGAGUUCUAAUCCAUAUGAUAUUCGAAUAUACUCAAUCAUAAUCAAUAAGCCCCUCAAUAUAAGAGGUUCUCUCGUUAUAUUGAAAUAUAAAAAAACUAAAUAUUCUAGCUAUCAUUUACAAUUAUCCAUUAAUGGUAACUUAUUAAAUACGGUAGCUUCCCUUAAAUAUGAGCUUUCCUUAUAUUCCACUGAUAGAAAUUUCCAAUGCCUCCCAAAUAAAUGGUUAUUUCUAGAAUGAAAGAAGAGGAAAUAAGAACUGUGGUUGUGUUAAAAGUUUACACAAUUCUUUAACUUUAAAUCUCAUGAAAAAUUAGCUCAUAUAAAUGUGAAAAGAAAACAACUAAAAUGCUAGAGGGAGUCCAGGACUGCGAGCUGCUAGGUAUAUUCUUUUUAAGUAACUCAUAGAGUUGGCAUUUAGUCACGAGAAUAUUGAAACAAUUAUGAUGUGGAGUGUAAUUGUAAAAAGAAGAAAAGAGGUACUACUACUAGAAUCAGUACUUAGAUAGCCUUCAAUGAUCCAAUGCCUGUAAGGUAAUUAGGAAUGCUUCCAGUUAUGUUACAGCUACUUAACGUCCUGCUAGCACGCAACAUAUGUAUAAAAUAAUAUGGUUCUAAAGGAAAUUAUCACAAUCUUCUAAGUUCUUUAUUGAUUUAGUGACAUUUACUCACAAAUACGUAAGGUUUCUCAUGUCUUUUAGCAGUGGGAACUCUGAAGCACCUCCAUUCAAGUUACUAAUAAUUCUGUAGAGAUAUCACAUUACAUCAGUUGUCAUCUUUACCAUCAAUGUAUAGUAAAUGAACAUAAUAUUGUUAUUGAAGUAUUGACAAACUGAAAUCUGACUGAAUAGGUUUCAACUCACAGUUCCUUUAAAUUUUUUAAGAUGGAAAUACUAGGAGGUAUGGGUCCUUCAAAACCAUUGCCUUUUAUCUCUCUGUUGAUAAUAAAUUAAUAAUGUCACGUAAACAAAAGUCGCAACUGUAAAUACUGCAGUUUGGAAAAUGCUCAUUCAGGAAAGGACUUACAAGCUCGUAAGGUUUGUCCAGCUCCGAAAAUUAGGUAAUUUUCCAGUGAAGUUGUUACUGAUUAGCCAACUGCAUUGGCCCCGAAAGACAUGUUAUCAUUAAAAUAGCAGAAAACUUUUUGCACUUUUCUAGAUUAAAAAACUUUAUACUUUGAGAAAUGUGUGGUGAAAUACUUACAGAAUUGUCAACAUUUUUAGAUUAUUUAAUUCAAUCGGCAACUCACUAGUGAGAUUGUUAUCAUAUAGAUAGCUACAGUGACCAAAGAGACAAGUUAAACUUACAUAAAUGGGUAAAUUACAGCCACUGUCUCUAACCUUUUGUUGGAGUAAUUUUCAAAAGAAUGCCAUUUAGACAUUGGUAAAUUAAAUCAAGGAAAUACAAUUCAAAAAGUACUUGAUCAAGAUGGGACAAGAACGAGAGAUGUAGGAAUGGACAAAAACUUGAGCCAGUUUGCAAAGUAAACUAGUGUAGGUGGGCAACAUGGAAGUGCUCCUGUGCUUCCUAGUUGGCGCAGGUGUGCUGCCAUGUUGCCCACCUACACUAGUUUGCUUGGUUGGCGUAGAUACGCUACCUGUGCUGGGUAGUCUUGAGAUUAACCCAGUAGCUUUUAGAACUUACUUCUUAGAGAACGUAAGGAGCAAAAAUGAAUAGGAAAGUUUCUGUGUAUUGAAGAUAAAAGUCACGCUAAUUGUACGUCAUGUGGUUCUUAAAUAUGAAUGGAAAAGACAGCACUAAUUACAGUUGUUUACAGCUGCACACUAACUGAAAAUUUCAACUAAUCUGACUAAUUCUUCAGCUCACUUCCACGUCAGCUUCUUCUGGUAAUCUCAAUAGCCCCCUUCAAGGUGGAGUGUAUAUGUUGCACAUAUUCAUAUUGCGCAGUAGAGAAUGAAAUAGAGAUGCUCCCACUGGUUUUGUCAUAAUAUCUGCUAGUUGAUUACCUGAAGAGACAUGCAUGGUGUGUAAAAUUCCAGCCUUAAUCUUGUCCCUUACUAAGUGACAAUCUAGUUCGAUAUGUUUUAUUAUCUCAUGAAAUAUAGGGUUGACAGCAAUGUGUAAUGCAGCUUGAUUAUCACAAUAUAACAAUGCAGACUUCUCAUGUUUGAUUCCCAAGUCAGCUAGUAGGUAUAAAAGCCAUUGAACUGUUAAAUGUGGCAUUAAUUUGUAAUCUUAGGAAAUAAAUAAGGUUACAUGCACUUGAAGAAAAUGUAUCAGGAAAAUACAUGAUGCACUUGAAGAAAAUGUAUCAGGAAAAUACAUGAUGCAAAUUCAUGAAUUAUUAGGUGUCCAUUUAUAUUCCCAUGUCUCUAGAGUUAUCCAUGUGGUCCUAUAAAUAGAGGUCAUUUUUGUAGUCUCAUUGUAAGAAAAAAAAGAAGAAAACAUUAUUGAGUGUGCUGUAGCAACUCAAAAACUAUCAAUAAAAAUUCAAGUUUUUCUUCAACACUUCGUUUCCGCACUAACAAAUUUGGUAUCAGAGCCAUAACUUGUGAUUGCAUUUUUUCAUGGCUUUCAUACAAACAGUUUCGUUGUUUACAUAUUCUUCCAGUCAAGUCCCAAUCUUCGAAGGCGAGCAUUAUGAAUACUGGAGCAUCCAAAUGCAAACUUUCUUCAUCUCCUUAGAUCUUUGGGAUGUCAUUGACGAUGAGGAAUACGAAGAACCAUCCGAAGACAAUGAAGAUUACGAAAAAUUGCAAAAAGAAUUUAAAAGAAAAGAUGCAAUGGCUCUCCGCUAUAUUCAACAAGGAGUCGGAAAAUCAAUUUUCCCUCGUAUCUUUGGUGUUAAAAAAGCCAAAGAUGCUUGGGAAAUAUUGAUGCAAGAAUUUCAAGGAGCGGAGAAAACGAUCGCCUUGAAACUUCAAUCCUUAUGGAGAGACUUUGAUAAUCUCCAAAUGGAAGAACGAGAAUCGGUUCGUGUUUUUUCUUCACGAGUAGCCGAGACAGUAAAUCAAAUCAAAAGCUGUGGUGACACAAUUACAGAUAAAAGAGUCGUGGAGAAAAUGUUAAGAUGCCUUCCUCCAAAGUUUGACCAUGUUGCAGCCGCAAUUGAAGAAUUGAAAGACUUGUCCAAAAUGACCAUUUAUGAGUUAACCGGGUCAUUUCUUGCCCAUGAGCAAAGGAUCAAUCGUUCGAGUAACCAAUCCACUACCGAACAAGCUUUCCAAAUCAAAGCAAACAUCAAAAGGAGGAUCGAACAACUAUGGAGAACACAACAGAGGCUCAAAUCAAACAAAACAAAAAGAUAGCCAUUGGAAGAAGGGUGACAAACAAAGCAAAUGGAAAGGCAAGCAAACACAAAUUUCUGGUGGUAACAAUCCAACUUGCAUAAUUUGCAAAAAAAUGAAUCAUGAAUCAAAGGAGUGCUACUUUAGAUGCAAAAGGUGCAAGAUCCCCAAUCAUUCUCAAAGGGAUUGUUGGUUUCAAAAUAAAGAGAUGACAGAAAGAAAAAGUGCAGCAAACUUUUCUCAAGAGAAUGAAAAGGAAAUUCUGUUUUAUUCUCAAAAUUAUGAAAAUGGAGCUCAAAGCCCUUGGUAUUUGGAUAGCGGUUGUAGCAAUCACAUGACGGGGAAUCGCGACAUCUUUGUGGACCUUAAUCCAAAUAUUACUUCACAAGUAAUUCUUGGCGAUGGAACAUGUAGAGAUGCGGUAGGAAAAGGCACCAUUGCUGUCCAAAUUAAAGAAGUUUUUGACAAAAAGAAAAAUAUUUGUGUGGCAAAUAUUGAAAUGAAGAACAAGAUAUUUCCUCUUAUGAUGCCACUAAAUGAGAAUUGUGCACUCAAGGCAAGAGACGAAGAUUUGGCGUAUUUGUGGCAUUUACGAUAUGGUCAUCUUCAUGAAAGAGGCCUUCGUUUACUCCAAAUGAAAAACAUGGUGACGGGACUUCCUAACAUCCAACACAUAGACAAAAUGUGCGAAGGAUGCAUCUAUGGGAAAUUGCACAAGUUGUCGUUUCCAAAAACUUCAUGGAGAACGAAAGCACUACUUGAGCUUGUGCACUCGGAUAUUUGUGGGCCAAUGCAAACUUCCACUUUUGGAAACAAGAGAUAUUUUAUUCUCUUUGUUGAUGACUUCACAAGAAUGAUAUGGGUUUUCUUCCUCAGUCAAAAAUCUGAGGCAUAUUCCACAUUUCUUCAAUUCAAAGCUCAAGCAGAAAGGCAAAGUGGUUUUUUGAUAAAAACUUUAAGGACCGAUCGUAGAGGUGAAUAUCUCUAUAAUUCUUUCAUGGAAUAUUGCAGAAAAAAUGGCAUCAAAAGACAAUUAACUGUGAGUCGAACUCCGCAACAAAACGGCGUGGCCGAAAGAAAAAAUCGUACAAUUGUUGAAAUGGCAAGAAGCAUGCUAAAGGGCAAAGGACUUCCAAAUCUGUAUUGGGCAGAAGCUGUAAAUACGGCAGUAUACAUUCUCAAUCGGUCUCCAACAAAGGCUGUACGGAAUAAAACUCCAUACGAAGCUUGGAACAAAAAGAAGCCAAUGGUUGAUCACUUCAAAAUAUUUGGCAGCAUUGCUUAUGCUCUUAUCCCUUCUCAAAAUCGGGAGAAAUUUGACGAGAAAGGACAAAAACUUGUCUUUGUUGGAUAUAGUGAUGAAUCUAAAGGAUAUCGGUUAUUAGAUCCAACUACAAACAAAAUUACAGUUUCACGAGACGUUGUUUUUUAUGAAGCUGCAUCUUGGGAUUGGAAAGGGAAAGAAGUUGUGGACCAGACACCAUACCAUUUUGUUGAUCCAUUAACAUUUCAAGCAGGUCCGUCACAAGUUGGAAAUUUAGAGCAUAAUCCAAACCCUACUCCAAGAAGUGAGGAAGAAUCUGAUCCAGAAAGCCCUCCAAGAAAGACACGUUCACUACAAGACAUAUAUGAGUCAUGUGAACUUGGGUUGUUCUCUAGUGAACCACAAUCAUUUGAAGAAGCCUCAAAAGAAGUAUGUUGGACAAAAGCCAUGAAUGAAGAAAUGUCCACAAUCGAGAAAAACAAAACUUGGAAGCUUGUUGCCUUGCCAGAAGGGAAGAAAAUCAUUGGACUCAAGUGGGUCUAUAAAAUAAAAUACAAUGAAGAUGGGUCGAUCCAAAAGCACAAAGCACGUCUUGUUGCAAAAGGGUAUUCUCAACAGCCCGAAAUUGAUUACACUGAAACAUAUGCUCCGGUUGCAAUAAUGGAGACGAUUCGUACUGUUUUGGCACUGGCAGCUCAAUUGGAGGUAUGUGUUUAUCAACUUGAUGUAAAAUCGGCAUUCUUAAAUGGUGAAAUUCAAGAAGAAGUUUAUGUCGAGCAACCUGAAGGAUUUGAAAUCAAAGGACAAGAAGGAAAAGUCUAUCGUUUAUACAAGGCACUUUAUGGUUUAAAGCAAGCGCCGCGAGCAUGGAAUAGCAAAAUCAAUAGCUAUUUCAUCCAAAAUGGAUUCAAUCGAAGCACGAGUAAAUCAUCUCUAUAUGUCAAUAGUCUUGGAAGAGACUUUCUUGUAGUAUGUCUUUAUGUGGAUGAUCUUCUAUACUUUGGUACAAGUAAAAGCAUGGUGGAAGAAUUCAAGAAAAAGAUGAUGAGAGACUUUGAGAUGAGUGACUUGGGUCAAAUGAAAUACUUUCUUGGCAUCCAAGUCAAACAAAGCCCGGGAAGAAUUUUUUUAUCUCAAGAGAAGUAUAUUGAUGAUCUUCUAGAAAAAUUCAGCAUGAACCAAUGCAAGCUAGUCUCUACUCCAAUGGGGCCGAAUGAAAAAUUCCAAGUCAAUGAUGAUGCUGAAAAAGUAGAUGCUACACUCUACCGAAAGUUAAUUGGUUCACUCAUCUACCUCAACACAAGGCCGGAUAUCACUCAAUCAGUGAGUUUACUUUCCAGGUUCAUGAAUGAACCAAGCAAGAAUCACUUUACGGCUGCAAAAAGAAUUUUGAGAUACCUUAAAGGUACAAAAAAUCAAGGCAUUGAGUUCAAAAAGGAAAAUAACUUCAACCUUGUUGGCUACACUGACAGUGAUUGGGCAGGCUCACUUGUUGACCGCAAAAGUACAUCGGGCUACAUCUUUUGUCUUGGAACAAAUAUUAUUUCAUGGAGUUCGAGAAAGCAAAGGUCUAUAGCACUAUCUUCUGCAGAAGCGGAAUACAUUGCAGCUGCGGAUGCCGUUUGUGAAGUAGUUUGGCUUAGAAGAAUUCUAAACGACUUGAUGUUUGAACAACAAGAGCCAACAACAAUACAUUGCGACAAUAUGUCAGCAAUUGCUAUGACAAAAAAUCCAAUUUUUCAUGCCAGAUCGAAGCAUAUUGAACUACGUCAUCACUUCAUUCGAGAUUUGGUAAGUCGAGAAGAAAUUUGCAUGGAAUUUAUCAACACAAAUGAUCAGCCAGCAGACAUUUUAACAAAGGCAGUCACAUUUGACAAGUUCGACAAGAUCAAGGAAAAACUCAAGAUUACAAAUUAAGAGGGGGUGUUAAAUGUGGCAUUAAUUUGUAAUCUUAGGAAAUAAAUAAGGUUACAUGCACUUGAAGAAAAUGUAUCAGGAAAAUACAUGAUGCACUUGAAGAAAAUGUAUCAGGAAAAUACAUGAUGCAAAUUCAUGAAUUAUUAGGUGUCCAUUUAUAUUCCCAUGUCUCUAGAGUUAUCCAUGUGGUCCUAUAAAUAGAGGUCAUUUUUGUAGUCUCAUUGUAAGAAAAAAAGAAGAAGAAAACAUUAUUGAGUGUGCUGUAGCAACUCAAAAACUAUCAAUAAAAAUUCAAGUUUUUCUUCAACACUUCGUUUCCGCACUAACAUGAACUUCGCAUGUAGCAAAUGCCAUAGCACGGUAUUCAGCUUCUGCUGAAGAUUUGGAAACUGUUCUUUGCUUCUUAGACUUCUAGGAUAUUAAAGCAUUUCCUGAAAAAGAACAAUAUCUAGUUAUAGACCUCCUUAAAUCAGGGCAACUUGCCAAUCUGAAUAUGAAAAGAUCUUCAAUCGUAAGUCAUUUUCUUUAGGGAAGAAAAUCCUCUGUCCUGGCAUGCUCUUGAUAUAUCUCAAUACCCUAUAAGCUGCAUUCAAAUGAGGUUCCCUUGGUUGGUUUAUAAACUGACUUAACACUUGAACCACAUAACUCAAAUCAGGCCUAGUAAUGGUUAAGUAUAAUAAUCGUCCCACCAGCCUCCUGUAGAUUGAUGCAUCAUUCAAUAAUUCUCCACUCUCUUUGUCCAGUUUAAUGUUCAGCUCCGUUGGUGUGUUUGCUGGUUUAGCACUACUGAAGCCAGCAUCUUCUAAAAUGUCUAUGGCAAAUAUUUUUUGACACAAAGAAAUUCCUUUCUUAGACCGAGUCACCUCCAGUCCUAGGAUAUAUUUCAAUACUCCUAAAUCCUUUAUCUUGAAUUUCAUAUCAAGAGAAGCCUUCAAAUCAUUCAUGCCUUGCAAAUCAUUUCCUGUCAAGACAAUGUCAUCCACAUAUACUAGAAGAGCAACAAAAGAGCCAUUUCUAUUUCUGGUAAAGAAUGGAAAAUCUGAGAACUUAGUGAACCAUUGCCUUAAGGCUUUUUUUAAGCCGUAUAAAGACUUGUUGAGCCAGCAUACCAUAUUGUGCCCUUUGCCGAAUUUUCAUGUAUAUUUUCUCAUUUAAAUCACUGUGUAAAAAAACAUUGUUGACAUCCAAUUGUAAGAUAUUCCAAACCAUAGCAGCAGCUAUAGCCAAUAAAACUCUCACAGAUGUAAGCUUCGCCAUAAGAGAAAAAGUUUCGAGAUAAUCAAAACCUUCCUUUUGAGUAUAGCCUUUAGCCACUAAUCUGGCUUUAUACCUUUCCAGGGACCCAUCAGCUUUCAAUUUUACUUUGAAUACCCAUUUACAGUCAAUAGGAAUUUUUCCAUGAGGUAAACUAGUGAUCGUCCAUUUGUGUUUAUCCUCAAGUGCCUUAAUUUCCUUAGUUAUUGCUUCACACCAGUUAGGGUCCUUGACAGCUUGAUCAAAAGACCGAGGCUCAGUCAUAUUUGUGAUAGUAAAAACAUAUGCUCGAUGGGAAGAUGAGAGCCUAUCAUAAGCAAGAUAAUUUUGGAUAUCACAGCUGGAGCUUAAGCUUGAAAGGACUUUACUUAUGGACUGAUCAGAUCUGGUAAGAGAGUUUUGAGCCAAAUGACAAUGAUAUUGCUGAAGAUAAGAAGGGGUUUUUUAAUUCUUGUGGAUCUUCUCAGAGGAGGAUUUAUGUUCUAUGUAGUUGUAUGAUUUUUUGGUGGAUAGAGAUGGCAAUUUAAACCAUUAAAAUUGAAAAUUGCGGUUAACUGAACUGAAUGAGGCGAAAAAACCGAACCGAUGGUGUAAUAGGACGGAUGUGGUAUUUGAUCUUAAUGAAUUGGUUCGUGGCAGUGCAGGUAUGGUAUUUAUGCAGUGGAACUGAUUACCCACUUAAAAAAUCAUUCUUUUAUUAGGGAUGACAAGGUUUAGUGAGGAGGAAGUUGACGAAGAUGUACAUUUUUUUAUUUAAAUCUUAGUUAAAUCCAUUCUGGAUUAGGUAGUAUCGUUGUAUUCUCUACUUACAUUUCUUAUUCACUAUAUAGGAAUCAAUUUUGAGUGCUGACCUAUACUAAUAAAAGUUGUGGGAAAGAAUGAAGAUUGAAUAUGAUUUAAGGUUGAAGCUUUUGAAUUAUUGAGCAUGAAUCAAAUAACUACAAUGCACAAGAAUUAAGAAUGAAUGAAAAGUUUAGUAUUGUUAUAUUCAUAAUAUUGUUUGUUAAAUUUUUAUUUUGCAAUUAGAAUUUGGGAUAAUGUUUGCAUUUUUGUUUGGAAUAUUGUGUUUUUAUUUUCAUUGGCUCUCUUUUCAUAAAUUGUUUUAUAUCAAUUUGACGGAUGAACCUAUAUAAAAUAAUUUAUUUUCGAGGUUAUUAAUCUAACUGAACCGAUUUACAUGGUUAUGGUACGGUUAUGGUAAGGCAAAAAAUUUGACGGUUCAGUGAUGGUUUUGGCUGAACCAAAUCAAAACCUAACCGUUGCCGUCCUUACUGGUAGAAGGAUAGUGGUAUUUUGGAGAUCUGGUGAUUGGUGAUCUGGUAAAGUACAUGGUGAAAUAGUUUCAGCUAUAGAAGACACAUGGGAAGGAAAUAUGGGAAAUGAAGACUCUGGAAUUGGAUUGGGUAAAACAAAUGGACAUCCCUACUGGUCGAAGGAUAGUGGUAUUUUGGAAAUCUGGUGAUUGGUGAUCUGGUAAAGUACAUGGUGAAACAUUUUCAGCUAUAGGAGACACAUGGGAAGGAAAUAUGGGAAAGGAAGACUCUGGAAUUGGAUUGGGUAAAACAAAUGGAUUAUUAUGAUUUAAAGGAAAUUGUUUGUAUGGAAAGAUGUUUUCAUAGAAUAUGACAUUUCUUGAAAUGAAUAUAGCCUUUGAUAGAAUAUGGAUAGCCAAGAAAGAUACAUUUAGUUGCUCUAGAAUCAAAUUUUGAUCGAUUUUUAGUGAGCGUGUAAGCAAAAUAUAAGCAAUUAAAAAUCCUGAAAUGAGUAUAGUCUAGUUUUUGGGAGAAAAGAACUUCAAAGGGAGAUUUUCCAUGAAGUAAGGGAGUGGGAAGUUUGUUAAAAAGGUUGAAUUCCAACCUUAAGGCCCCCACCGCCCCACCCCUGGAGUAUCGUGAGGGAGGUAAAUCGUUGAAUAUGCCUCAGUAGGCCAGGGAACAAGAGCUUGCUGUACACUGGUGCCUACAAAGAGUCCAAUUCCAUAUCUCAGGAAUUGAAGCCUCACACUGCAGCUGCCAGCAAGGCUAAGACUACCUCACUCCUGUCCUUUGCACCACUGGGAUAUGCCAUGGGGGCAAGGGAGUGGAAAGUCUGUUGAUUAUGUAAGUGGCAGUUUGUAUACAUUCAUCCCAGAAACUAAGGGGUAAAUUAGAUUGAAAACAAAUGACUCUAGCAACAUUUAAUAGAUGUUGGUGCUUUCUUUCGACUACUCUAUUUUGUUAAGGUGACUCAACACAAGUCUUUUGAUGUAUAACACCCUUAGACGUAAAAAAAUCUCUAAGGUGAAAUUUUGGACCAUUAUACGAAUGAAUGCACUUUAUCUUGAGAUUAAAUUGUGUCUCAAUUAAAGUGAAGAAAGUUGGAACGACAGAUUGCGUUUGAUUUUUAGAAUUUAGUAAUCAAGUCCAUGUACAUCGAGUAAAGUCAUCGACAAGAGUUAGAAAGUAUUUUGAACCAUCAAUAGCAGUAGUAGAUAAAGGACCCCAUAGAUCAGCAUGUAUUAGAUCAAAUGGGGUUGAACUAUUUAUUUCACUGGAAACAUAGGGUAAUCUGUGUAAUUUAGCAGUAGGGCAAACAUCACACUGAUGUAUAGUAUUUACAUUCAAAUCUAAAAUGGUAGAUUGCAACAUUGUAGGCGCUGCAAAGAUGGAUGCCCUAACCUAAGAUGCCACAAAUUAGAAACUGUGGAUGUUAUAGAAUUGGCAAAGUGUUUGUGUUGUGUAGGAGUGAUGUUCAGCAUAUAGAACAGGCCGUUUCUCUCUUUAGCCAGACCAAUCAUCUUCUAUAAACGUAGGUCCUGUAUAAAGCACACACCAGACAAUAAGAUGAGAUUACAUCUAACUAUUUUAAGCAACUGAUUGAAAUUAGAUUGAAUGCAAAAGACGGCACGCAUAGAACAUUCUUCAAAAUGAUAAGAGUCUGAAAGUCUAAUUGAUCCAACAUGUGUAACCUCUGUUAAAGUACCAUUUGGAAGCUUAACAAACCGAGAUGCUGAAGCUGUGAUUUCAGUGAGUGAAUGGACUGAACACACCAUGUGAUCUGUAGCACCGGUGUCUAAAAUCCAUUUAUAAUUCAUAUUCAAAGUUUCAGGACUUUCAAAUGACUUAGAUAUUGACUUACACGAAAAACAUUGACUAAAUACUGAUGCAUUGUGGAGGCAAAUAACUUGAUAUACCUGCCAGAUUUGCUAAGGCAUGCUUCUGGGAACCAGAGAUGCUUGCAUUCUGAAGGUUAAUAGUACGGGUACUUGUGAAUGGCAAAGACGUUUCAUCGAUAGGUUAAAUCAAAGCCAGCAGCUAUUCAUAUUGAUCUUUAGUGAAGGGGAAUUUUGAAAGAUCAGUGGUGAUAUUAGGAACAAAUUCUACUUGAUUUGUAACUCCAUGGACCACAGGAUUCUUGUUCUUGAACUUAUAUCUUGGUGGAUAUCCGUGUACUUUGUAGCAUUUGUCAAUUUUGUGGCCAAGAAGACCAUGGUGGCUGCACUGACGACACUCCUUUUUAUUGUUCGGUCCAGUGUAGUUGUUUAUUCCCUCGUUAGUAUAUUGAUUCCUAUUGAAAUUUUUAGCAACCAUAGCUACGGAAUCUAGAUUAUGUGUGAUUCUAGCAGUUAUUUCUCUUUGCUUUUCCUCUUGUGCAACUAGAGAGAAAACUUUGUUAAUUGCUGGUAAUGGAUCAAUCAAUAGUAUUUGACCUCGAGUCUGAGAGUAACUCUCAUUCAGCCCCAUCAGAAAUUACAUGAUAUAAUCCUCCUGCUGAAACUUCAUCAAGGAGGCUGGAACACGUCUAUAACGUCCAAGUUCAUCCCAAAAACGUCUUCAGUUUGGUGAAUUAGGCACUUACUGAACACUGAUUUUGUGUUAAAGAGGCGAUCCCCUUCCUCAGUUGAAAGAUACGAGGUCCAUUUGUUUUUGAAAACCUCUUUAAGUUAUGGCAAAAAAAACUUCACUUCCUUCUCACAAUCCUCAACAUGGUGUAAUAGCUUACAACUCCAAAGCCAGAAGAGACAAAAAAUGAACCAUUGGAGAUACAAGACCUAGACAAAAAUGAGAUCAAGAUGAUUACAUAUGCGAGGGUCACAUUUAACAUGCAAUGUCUCAUAAUUCUCUUUUUGAUCAGUACCACAAGAAGAAAAUCGCCAAGGAAAUAUGGGAAGCAUUGGAAGCCAAAUGCAUGUUGGAGGAUAUUACAAGUAAGAAAUUAAUUGUAUCUAAUUCUUUCAAUAUCGAAUGGUGGACAACGUGAAGAUAAUUGAGCAAUUUCAUAAAACCACUCAUAUACAUAACCAAUUUCUUCAAUACCACAUCAAUAUGGAUGUGUCCAUUGACAAACUACCUGCAUCUUGGAAAGAUUAUAAUAGAAGUCUAAAACACCAUAAAUAAGAUAUCCCUAUUGAAGUAUUGGGUCGUAAUCUCUGAAUGGAGAAAGAGUUCAAAAUGAUUAAUUUUUUAGGAGCAUAGUGUCCAAUCUUCUAAAGUUCAUGUGGUUCAGGAUAAGGAAGGAUCGAUGAAAAGAAGAUGAUGCAAAUUAACAAAACAACAAAAACAACAUGAAGAGGAAGCACGAUUCAAAAGACGAGGGUUCCAAGAAACAGAGUAGGUCUUGUUACAAUUGUAGCAAAAUGUGAAAGUGUCGCCAUUUGAAGAAGCAAGAUGACAUGGAUAACUUUGUAAUUUGAAUUUGUUUUAAGUAUGCUUUCAAGUUUGUUUUGAGAUUUUUGAAUAUGUAUUGCCAAAGAGUGGUAUUUUUUGGAAAAAUAUUUUUGUUUGUGUGCGUGUUUAUAAUUAAAUAAAUUAUUGUUAUAGGUUGAUUUAUUAUUUGAUUUCAUAUUUGCUUACGAGAUGCUUGAAGAUUACUUUGAUAUAAAUACGUUAGAAUAAGUAACUUGCUAUUAUAUUGAGCUAGUAUCAUACGUAUUUUCUAAUUUAUUAUUAUUAUUUUUUUUAAUGACAGGGGAACCCGUAGUCGCAAAGCACGCCAGCCUGGUAAACCACACUAGACAAGCCCUGUGCGAUAGUCUCGAUCGAGAAAGUAUUAGUAGAGAGAAUCGAACUCGUGACUAAAGACCACCGCACUCACUUACUCCACUACUCUGCCACCCAAUGAGGGGCAUGUAUUUUCUAAUUAUUAUCAUGAAUGUUUGCUAUAGUUAAUAAGGAAAUUUAAAGAUAUUUUUUGUCAAGUUACUUGUAAUAAUAUAUAUAUAUAUACAAAUUUUGAAAUAAGCUUCUAUACUUUUAAACAUGAAAUUAGUUUUGUGCUUAACUAGUAUACCAUAUAAUCUUCAUAUGAUAUAACAUCGAAUUGUUUAACAUAAGUGUCAGUAUAUAUCUUCCCCAAAGGCUUCGGUUUUGGAAAAGGAACUAGCAAAAUAAAUCCAUUGGUUUGGGACCUAGUUGAUCUUCAACGAAAUGUAAAACUCGAGUCCAAUAAAGUAAAGGAAAUUAAAUGGAUUGAUUAAUUCAAAGGUGUUGCAAAUCUCUAUUCUUCCAUUAAAAGAAUAAAAUAUUGAUUUGUCAAUUAAGUGAUUAAAUGUCCUUAUUAUAAUUGACAAAGUAGAUAUGACUUAACUAAAUGAUCUUGGUUUAAGUAAUUGAUUAUACAAGAUCAAUGGAUUGAAUUAGUCUAUGACUAUGGCAUGUUAAAAUUUACAUAAGGCCUUGACUCGUUAAAUGUCACGGGAUUGAGACGGGAAAUACAACUAAUCACCAAUGAUGAAAAGUCGAUCUAACACUUGAAACAUCAAGUUCUUAGGUUCAAAGAGUAAAGUAUUUCAAAUAGGUGAUCAUAGGAAAUAUUCAUUUUUUCCCAUGUAAGUGUGCUUAGUACACUUAACAAUAAGGGAAAAGAUCAGUUAUUGAGCUUUUAAUAGAUUUAAAAAAAGGUUGAACUCCAACCUUGAGGACCCCUACCGUCCCGUCCAUGGAGCAUCGUGAGGGAGGAAAAUCGCAGGAUAUGCCCUAGCAGGCCAGAGAACAAGAGAUUAUCCAUAUACUGGUGCCUACAAAAAGUCUAAUUUCAUAUCUCAGGAAUCGAACCCUCACACUGCGGCUGCCAGCAAGGCUGAGACUACCUCACUUCUGUACUUUGCACUACUGGAUUAUGCCCCCGAAGGGCACUUUUAAUAGAUUUAUAUAGAAUACUCUAGUUACGUUAGUAUUAUUGAUAAGUGUCAGAAUUUGGGUGUGAUCCAAUUUUUUUUUUUUCAAAGAUAAUUGUGAGUUCUAAUUAAAGUGCACAUUAAGAAUAAUCCUUUUUGGAAUGCUAUUAUGCAAUUCUAUUCAAGUUUACUUGACGAAUUCUAGUUGAAGUUUUACUUAGAAGUCCAAUUGGGAGUUUAAAUUUGUAUUGGACUUAAAUGGGAUAUUGGGAUGAAGAAAAUCAAGUUUUUGAAGUAAAGGACUGGAGAAUGGGCAUCACAAUGCCAAGAAGUUUUUGGUUCGGCGUCGAGGUGCACAUUGUCUGUUUCUCCCUAAGCGAUUUUUUCCUACUCUACUCCAUUUUGGACUCUCUCUUUUUUGCAUUCAACUUCAACUACAACUCUACUAUUAGGGUGUGGACAUUCACUACUAGUUAAAUAUAUAGUUGGCUCUUCAUUAUGACUUAGAAGAAGUUAUAAACAUCGUAAACACAAAUUUUUGUAUUCUUUCUCCAUAUUUCCAUUCUUUGCAAAUUAUCUUGUUUUUGCGUUAUAUUAAUCAAUUAUUUCAUAUUAUGGCUAUAAUAUCUUAUUUUUCUCCAACAAUUUGGUAUAAAAUUAAUCCGAAUUAUUUUCAUUUCACAAUAAACGGGUAUCAGAGUGUUUGGUGUUUAAAUUCUUGGGAAUAUUGAGGUUUUGAUCAAGUUAAUAGCUCAACUUGAUCUUUCAUCAUGGAAACAAUGAAGUAUGAUAUUCUGCUAUUAAAUCGCAAUACAAGAUUAUCUUUAUGACAAAUAAAGAUGGGAGCAGUAAUCGAUCAGAUGGAUUCGGAUGACGAAAGUUAUUAGAAUUUGACAAGAUGCCUACAACUUGAACUCCAGAGGAGAAACAUCAGAUGGACCGAAAGAUCCUAUCUUAUAUACAACUUCAUCUUUCAAAUAUUAUUCUUUGGGAUGUUUUGAAGGAGAAGUUAGCUACUGCAUUAUUGUUAAAAUCAGAACAAUUAUGCAUGACGAAAAGUCCUAUUAGCAAAUUGCAUUUGAAGCAACAUAUAUAUUCUCAUCAUAUGACAGAAGGUAUAUUUAUUGAGGAUCACCUAGCUAUUUUUAAGGAAAUUAUCGCUAAUUUGGAGACCUUGGAAGUCAAAUAUAAUGAAGAAAAUUUGUGAUUGAUUUUAUUGUGUUCAUUGUCCACUUCAUACAUGUCUUUUAGAGACACAAUUUUAUAUAAUUGUGAUAUUCUGACCAUCAAAGAACUCUAUGAUGUUCUAUAUUCAGAGGAGAAGAUGAAGUAUCUUGUUGCAUUUGAGAGUCUUUGAGAUGGCUUCAUUGUUGAUGGUGGUCAUUCAAAGGAUAAGUCAAAAAUCUAACUUCAAAUUUUAUAAUUAUUACAAAAAAGGGGGGCACUAGAUAAAUGAUUGUUACAAGUUGUAGAAUAAAUCAAAAUUGACUGCAAAUAAACAAUCAGAAAUUUUAGGAAAAACAAGUAUUGCAAAAAAAAUCCUAACAAUGAUGGAGAGCUUUUACUUAUGUCCAACUAUAACUCCAAAUUUGACAAGGCUUGGAUUUUUUAUGCUGCUUGCACUUUUUAUAUGACUCCUAAUCGAGAUUUAUUCUCAACAUAUGAAGAAGUUUUAAAAGGUAUUGUAAUGAUAGGUAAUAAUACACAUUGUCAAAUAGCUUGUAUUUGUCGAAUUAAAAUAAAGAUGUUUGAUGGGAAGGUUAGAACACUUAAUGCAGUGAGGUGCGUUCCAGAUUCGAAGAAAAAUCUUAUCUCUUCAAGUACUUUUGAUUCAAAAGAGUACAAUUAUAUUGUUAAAGGUGGAGUCCUGAAAGUUAGUAAAUCAGCAUGUGUUUUGUUAAAGGGAUAUAGAAAAUUCCAUUUAUAUAUCUUGCAGUGUUAUAAAGAAUUUUUGAGCAAUCAGCAUAUUUUAAGAACUCAAGUGGAUUUGGAGUUGGAUUCUAUAUUGUUGGAGCCUAAUUUUAGGGAUUUUUAUUUUUAUUUAUUUAUUUUUUUUUUUGUAAAAAAGAAUACAUCUCAGUAAAUUUAGAAGUUAUAGGUAAAUCCGGCUUACCACCAUCAUCGAUGGUGUCAUUGUAUUUAGUUGCUUGUAAUAAACCUAUUUUUGGCCAUAAUAUUUCACAUAGAUACAAUUAUGCUGAUUUAGUUGAUAGUUUGAAUGUGAUUAAAGGUGUUGAUUCUAGCCAAGAUCCUUCUUUUAAUGUAUUCAGUUGUAAUUCUAUUAUAGGGCUUGUUUCAACUUUGUUUGGUGGUCAUUAGAUCACUUUUUCCUUUAAUUGAGGUAGUAGAGGUGGAGAAUGUUUCGGUUGAAUUUUUUUAUGGAUAAGUUCGUUUGUGUCCUUUAGUGAAGAUUUCAAGUUUUUUUUCCAUGUAGUGGAAUUUGUCUUCAAGUGGAGAAUUUUUUCUUUUGAAGUUUUAUUCAUUUUAGUGGAAUUCGUGUCAAGGUAGAGAUUGUUAGAAUUUGGUUGUGACCUGAAUUCUUUGUUGAAGAUAAUUGAAAGUUAUAAUUAAAGUGCACAUUAGGAAAAAUUCUAUUUGGACUGUUAUUGUGGAAUUCUAUUCAAGUUUACUUGGCGAGUUCUAGUUGAAGUUCUACUUGGUAGCCCAUUAGGAAUUGAAAUUUGUGUUAAACUUGAAUAGAAUAUUGUGAUGAAGAAAAUCAAGUUUUUGAGGUAAAGGACCUGAGAGUGGAAACCACAGCACCACGACGCUACCUACUCUGUUUCGUCCAGUGUGAUUUUUCUUUCUCUACUCCAUUUUGCAUUCUACUUCAACCACAACUCUACUAUUAGGUUUUGGACGUGCCCCUAUUUAUUCUUUAUAUAUAGUUAGCUUUUCAUUAUGAUUUAGAAGAAGUUAGAAACAUUGUAAACACAAAUCUUUGUAUUAUUUUUUCAUAUUAUAAUAAAAUUUCCAUUCUCUACAAAUUAUUUUGUUCUUGUGAUUAAUUACUUCAUAUUAUGGCUACAAUCUCUUAUUUUCCCCAACAGUUUGGUAUUGGAUUAAUCCGGUAUCAUCUUCGUUUGAUAACAAUAAGUCUAUCUCCAUGAGCGUCGAUGAUGGUUUAUCUCCAAAGUGUCUCGACUCGCUACUUAAGACAUUCUUGAAAAUUAAGGAUAUGGGACACGUGGAGUAUUCACAUGUUGAUUUAUAUGAACACGGGAGGAUAUGAAACUUGUAUAUGAAGUUUUUCGCUUAGCCAUAUAGGGUUUUUGGUUCAAAGCUUGUCUACCAUAUCGCUUUGGUUAAUAUUGUUAGAGUUGGUGACUCAAAUUGGAAAGGAAAUCUUGAAGAUGCGUGAUUGAUUUGGAGAAUCAAAUAGUAUUUGAAAAAUAAAGAAACAAAGUUUUUGUCUCGUUUUUUUUUUCUUUUUCACGUUUAACCUAGAAUUCUUACCUUUUUAUGACUCUUUUAGUGCUACACUCUUGUGGUAUAAAUAUGAGUCUCAUCUUUUAGUAUUGUUGAAACAUCAUUACUGUCCAGUUGUAAUUCUCUUCAUAUUAAUAAAAUUCGUCGUUCCUAUGCUUAAUUCAUCUUUUACUUUAAUCUUGUUCGUGGUAUUUUGCAAUCUUGUAUUAUACUUCAAAUUGGUGUCCAUUAAAUCUCAAUUCUUGCGUUUCAUUUCCACCCGGUCCCAACAAGUGAUAUCAGAGCGAGGUUGUUGGUGGAUUUCUGGCCUGAAACUAAUCAAAAAUUGGUCUGAAAAUUACCAGAAAAUCAGAAAAUGAAUCUGUCCAGUUUUUUUCGAUUUUCUACUGGAUCUAUUUGUGCAUUUUUCGAUAAAACUACUUACCUUUUGGAGAAACGAACACCACCAGUGGACUCAGCAAGCAGAGACGGUCCAGAAAGGGUCACAGGUCGUCGGCGCGUUUCUGGUUAGUCGCCGGCGGUGGGAACUUUGACGAGAGAAUGGUGGGGCGUGCGGUGAUUUUCGACGAUGGUGUCUUCAGGCAGUUUUCUCCGAACGACGAGACAGACCUUGUGGUGGUGUCCAAUUUCAGUUUUGGGCAAAAUUGUGGUUCUGGACUGUUUUGCCCCUUGUACGUUCCGAAGUUUUCAGUUUUGGAUGUUGCAAGUUGCAGGCUCUUUGUGAUUUGGUUGAGAUUUUUCAAGAACGAAUUCGUUGAAGUAUGAAAUUCUGCUAUUGGAUCACAAUACAAGAUUUUCGCUGUGGUAAGUAAAGGUGAGAGCUGUGUUGACGCAGAUGGAUCUUGAUGAUGCUUUGCUGGGUUUUGAUAGGAUGUCAGCAAACUUGUCUAUGGAGGAGAAACAACGAAAGGAUCGAAAGGUUUUAGCGCAAGUCCAACUUCAUUUAUCCAACAAUUUGCUGCAAGAUGUUUUGAAGGAGAAGACAGCGGCUGCUUUGUGGCUCAAGCUGGAGCAGUUGUGCAUGACAAAGAGUUUGACGAGCAAACUGACUCUAAAGCAAAGAUUGUAUUCUCAUCGUAUGGUGGAAGGAGGGUCACUAUAGGACCACCUUGCUGUGUUCAAGGAGAUCGUUGCAGAUUUGGAGACGUUGGUGGUAAAAUAUGAUGAAGAGGAUCUAGCCUUUGUCCUAUUGUGUUCGCUACCCAAUUCUUUUUCGUCUUUUCGUGAUACUAUAUUGUAUCAUCGUGACACAUUGUCCAUUGAGGAGGUAUACGACGCCCUAUUCUCAAAAGAGAAGAUGGAGUUAUUGGUUGGAGAUCCUACAUCUAGGAGUGGGAAUGCUCUGGUUACUCAUGUUGAUCGACGGAAGGGUAGAUCGAAGGUGAGGUACAACAAUGUGUAAUGUUAUUACUGCAAGAGGAAAGGACACAUCAAGAAAGAUUGCGACAAGUUGCAGGGUAAAGGUGAUUUACAUGUAAAUCAUGUGGGACAAUCAGGUAAUUCAAACGAGACUAAUAUUGCUGAAAAUUUUUGUGAUGAUGGAGAUGUGAUGUUGGCUGUAUCUAACAGGGAAUCUAAACCUGAGGAGUGGAUUUUGGAUUCUGCUUGUUCGUAUCAUAUAUGUCCCAAUAGGGCUUUGUUUCAAACAUAUGAGACGGUGAAGCAAGGUGGGGUUGUCAUGGAAAACAACCAAUCUUGCUAGGUUGCAGGAAUCGGUCGGGUCAGAUUGAGGCUACAGGAUGGAACAGUGAGGACACUUGAUCAGGUUCGUCAUGUUCCAGACUUGACAAAGAAUCUCAUAUCACUGAGUACCUGGGAUGAAAAAAGGUACAAAUUUUCUGGUGGAGGUAGAGUCUUGAAGGUUUGAAGGGGUGUCUGGGUUGUACUGGAGGGACGGAGGAAAUCCCAGUGUACAUCUUGCAGGGGAGCACAGAACCAGUUCAGAGACAUUUGGACAAGUUCAGUACCGUGGUGGACAUUCAAUUUGGUACAGUACCUCUCGGGUUUGGCUCUGAGUUAGUUAAGAACUUUGCUCAAGGGAAUAUUGGUGAUUCUGCUUUGCCACCAAUUUUAGCGGGUACACUGUGUUCUUGUAAUGCCAAUGGACUCAUGGAGCGUAGGUAUAGUUUUGGAGAUGUCUAUAGUGCUUUAGAAAUCAUUGAAGGUGACAAUAUUGGCAAGGGACCUUCUGAUUGUGCAUUUGGUGUGGUUUCUGCUACAGGGUGUGCUUCGACCCUGUCCAGUGAUUGUUAAUUCCAAGAGGAAUUUUGAGAACCCAAGUUUUGGGUUCGGGUGUCGCUUGUGGAAGCUGGGCGGGGUAAUGUGUUAUCGUGGAGAGUUUUGGUUACUGUGUUGAAGAGAUUGGUUAUUCUGAUGCAAAUGGAUUAUUUCUCAAGGUGGAGAAAUUUUGGAGUUUCGUUCGUUGCACCGAAAUUUGAGUCAAGGUGGAGAUUGUUAGAGUUGGUGAUUCAAAUUGGAAAGGAAAUCUUGAAGAUGCGUGAUGGAUUUGGAGAAUCAAAUAGUAUCCGAAAAAUAAGGAAACAAAGUCCUUGUCUCGUUUUUUUCCCGUUGAACCUAUAAUUCUUACCUUUUUAGGACUCUUUUAGAGCUAGACUCUUGUGGUAUAAAUAUGAGCCUCCUCUUUCAGUAUUGUUGAAGCAUCAUUGCUGUCCAAUUGUAAUUCUCUCCAUAUUAAUAAAAUUCAUCGUUCCUCUGCUUAAUUCAUCUUUUACUUUAAUCUUGUUCGUGGUAUUUUGCGAUCCUGUAUUAUACUUCAAAUUGGUGUCCAUUAAAUCUCAAUUCUUGCGUUUCGUUUCCACCCGGUCCCAACAAAUAUUUGCAACAACUUCACUACGUGAAGGUUGAAGUCCAAAAGCACCUUCGUCUAUGCAUAAAGUUUGUGAUGUCUAUAUGGUAGAUUGUAAAACUAUCACUCAUUUUGGAAAUUGUAGAGAAUUGUUGGAAUAAUUUCCAAAAAAAUGUCGUUUAGACAUUGGUAGUUUAAAUCAAGGAAAUACUUCAAGAAGCGUUGGAUCAAGAUAGGACAAGAACAAGAGAUGACCAAACGGACCAAAACUUGCACUAGUUUGCAACAUAAAUUGGCGCAAGUACGCCCAAGGCUAGUGCACCUACGCUAGUUGAGUAAUUGAAGCACAGGUACUCUGCCUUGUUGAUGCAAGUGACCUGUUGGCUAGUGCACCCGCGCUGCCAAGCGACAACAAUGGUGUCUUUUCGUUCCUAACUGAUGUUUGAUAGUUAGAAUUCAAUUUUUUUUCAGUUUGUAUUGAUGUAGUUCAAACUCUAAUAAUUAUCUUGAAGUGUUGUAACUCUUGGGAAGAUGUGUAAAAUAAUUUUAAUUCGUUUUUACUCUACCAUUUUCUACACUUUCUUGCAUCCAAAAUACCAACUUUAGUGCAUUCUUAUCUUCUUGAGUAUUGUUUGUAUUUAUCAUACUGCAGAUAUAAAGUGGAAAUUUUGAGUGGACUUUCCAUUGUUCGUGUUGUCUUCGUGAGAAAUCCCAAACAACACUAAAGGGCUUCAUUAUAUCCUAUAGACGUAUUUGCAUUCCAUGUGCAUCAUAGAUUGGUGGAAACAAAUAUCAUCUUAAGGAAAGAGAUAUUUGUUAUAUGCCUUGAAGCCGGUAUUGUUUUAAGUUCGAGUUUUUGCGAUAUUCCAACAUCUAGUUUCGUCUAAUUGUCAUCUCUAAACUGAUCUCACCUACACCUUCGAACCUCGUUUCAGUAAUCUACCUAUAUAUAUUCAUCUAAUUCAAUCCGUCAAUUUGUUAAAAUUUGGAUGAUCGAAAAGGUCUUACAGAUGUUUUAAAUUGACCAGCUUCCCUAGUUCUGCUGGAAUGGUCCCGUUUAACCUGUUACUCCCCAAGCCCCUGAAAGUUGAAUAGAUUUUCAAAAUUACAAUUAGAAUUUCGGGAAAAUAUAUCCACUAUCAAACAAAACAUUCAUGGUGUUUGCUUGUUUAUGUAGGAGUGACCAUAUGUAGAGAGAGAGAUCUAUGGGUCAGUUGAUAUGUAGAGGGGGAGAUAGCUAGAUAGGAACUCACAAAUACGUAGUAAUGUUUCCCAGGAAUUUCGGUAUGGGUCCAAAUAGGCGGUUCACCAAAAGACUUCUAUAUCACACGUACUUUUUCGAUAUAACAAAGGAUGUAGACAUUACAUCAUUGCCAAAACUCAAUUAAAAGCUACAGGCAAGGCUCACAUGGACUCCAAUUUGGUUGCUUCCCAUUCCAUGGGUAUUGUACCAUUAAGGUAGUUGCCACUAAGAUCUCUGUAGCCAAUAGAUUCAGAGUGAGAUCAAUGUGGCCAAUAAAUUGUCUCAACCUUUCGAAGCAAAAAGCUGAGUAGAUUUAAUAAAUUGAAAAUAAACUUGGAACAUCUUGCUACAUUGUCUUGAGGUAUGGUAACUUUGCCUGUGAGGGCGGAAGGACACCUGCCAAAUACUGUCCAUUUAGAAAUCUGUUUGUAAAGAAAAGCGACAAUCUUUAGCAUACUCUGAAUUGAAAAGUUUUCAUCUAAAUUUUACAAGUGCGACAAUUAAAAUUUCUUGAGAAGUGAAAGAAACAAAGCCAAAAAAAAAAAAAUAAUAAUAAAAUAAAUAAAUAAAUCAUUCCGAAGGGAUUUUGAAGGAAACAAUACAAUAUAUUAAGCCCAUGUUUGGUGGGGGAUUAUUUUUAGCAAAUUUUGAUAAAAGUUGAUGAAAUGUAUAGUUGAAAAGUUUUGGGUCUAUAAAAUAUGAGGCUAAAAUUAAUUGUUGAUGUUUAUUUAGAUUAAGAUCUAUAUUUUAGUCCUAGGAAAUAGGGGCUAAAUGUAUAGAGUGUUUCAAGUAAAACAACUUGUUAGAGUGGCUUCUAGAACACACUACAAACGUUAUACGAUUUCAUUUUCAACUCUAACUUAACAAUCAAGAAUGUAACUUGAAAACAUGGUGAAAUAAAGUUGUAUGCUUGACUGAAUGGAAAAAAAGAACUAUAUUUAUUUUUUAUUUUUUUAUGGUUAUAAUACUAACACAGCUUAUUGCAGAAACUUCUAUACAUAUGUUAAGUGCAAAUCGUGGUGAAAGAUGAUGAAGAUAGAGAGUCUAGCAAUAUAAAAUGAAUAAUGCUAUUUAGCACCACUGGUGUUAUAAUACCAGUUUUGGUGACACAAAGUGUCAUUAAAUGAGUCACUACCUUUCAUUUAGCCCAUUGCAUGGCGACAGUUAUACUGGUCUUCGAUGACAUUAUUCAUAUGAAAUAAGUCAUAAAGGUCAAGUUUGAUUACUAGGCACCAUAAGUUCUAUUGAGGUCUAAGCAUGAAAAAAGUACAAUAAUUCCCACUUAAAAUACCAUUUUAAGAAUCGACAAACAGAUUUCCAACCAUUAUAUGGUAUUCCAUGCCUCAAAAUCAAAUACUGAAAACCCCAUAUUUAGCUGCUUGAAGGAUCAAUAGAAGCAGAAUAUAUUUUCUGUGAUUCCUGAUUCCUUGCAACGUAAUAGCACAAAUGGCUAUUUCGAAAUCAGUUUCAAACUAAUGAUAAAGAUGAUAAGUUUUCAGCAAGAAAACCUACAUUAAUUUUACGUGGCACACACCACCAGGGAAAUUACAAUGGCAGAUGAUGGAAUUGCUGUACCAUUGAAUAUCUUCUCGUUUUGGUGUAUUCCAGUUUGAGUUAUUAUCACAAGGAUUCAGGUUGAAGUCCCAGUCCUUUUUGCCCAACUGAUCAGCUAUUUCACGAAGAGCAUUCUCUGCAAAAAUCAGAACUCUAUUCUAAAAUAUAAAUGUGAUCGGAUUCAUGUUGAUCAAAGUGAACUUUUAAGGAGUUUAAUGGAAGGCUAAAAAGUGUAGUCCCUAAUGAGCUAAACACGUGAAUGGAAAAGAAAUAAAUGGUUUACAUGUGCAAUGACUAGCGAUCGUGGCAUAACACAUUGGAAAAAAUAGAGAUAUACAAAACUACUACAGCCAAUUAUCUUUGAUCAUCUAGUUGUUUUGCCUCUUAUAUUAGAUGUAAUAAAAUAAAUAGACCAGAGUGGUUCGUGGUCUCAAAAUGAAAGUUAUUAUUAUCAUUUUUACUUUAAAAUAGCACAGAAGGUGUUUUAAGGCCACUAUGUUUGCAUCUUCGUAAUCAAAUUAGUCUUGUGGGUAGUCCGUGUUUGUAUUAAAUCUAUUCCCAUUUUCAGGUAUUUCCAUUUUUUGCCAAUUUCUUGGGUAAAAUCUCCCACCUAUCUUAAAGAUAAAGAAAGCUUUCUUGGAUACUUCUUGCACUAAAAAUGAAGGACGAUCCAAUUUAUUAACUAUGAAGCACUAAUAUUUCUUCGAAGCAUAAAACAACUAAAAAAUUAGUAAAAAUGAAUGAAAACCGCUUCAGGCUACUUGUUUUCAAUAAUCUCUGGUACAUAACUGAUAAAUUUACUAAAGAAGAAGUAUUUCAUCAUCAUCUACUAACUUUAUCCUUAUUGCAUAUCUAACUAUAUAAUUGUUGUGCUUGUUAAUAUAUUCAAAAUGUGUUGGAUAAUUGCCUCAGAAGUCAAAAGUUGGAGUACUUCUAUUGCAAAUAAUAAAAGGUAAUAAUUGUAUGGAAGACUUCUAGUUAAAGUUGAGAGAAAAAUCCUCGCAGAAUUUGAUUUCCAAUUUUACAUCCGCUUUUGAAGUCUUGCAUAUAAAGGAGUCCUUGUUUGAGUUGAAAUUGAACUCUUUUACUUAAUUAUCGAUCCUACAAAUAGUGGAUGUAUUUAUUAUUUCAUGGGUGUGGCCUGAGAGUUGAUCCGAGAGAUAAAUAUUGUGAGCCUAAUAUCUUGAGAGUUUUCAUAUAAAGAGUAGAAAAGUGGGUAUGGUAAAGCUCAAGAUUAUUUUUCUUUGUAAUACUUAAGAAUUGGGUUGGUGAGUAAAAUUUUAUAUGGUUGUAACAAUUUUCAUAUAGUGAAAGGCUUUGAAGGUCUGCUAGUGAUACAAAUAGAUUAGUAAAUGACAUAUCUAUUCAAUUAAAUGGAUAUCGACAUUUUACCUAGAUAUUUAUUGUGGUGCGGCAAAAAAAUAUCAUGUCAAUUUUAUCAAUGCUAUGCCCGCAAUAACAUGACCCUGAUCAUUUAUUUUACUUUCUUUCAUCAAAAGACAUUUAUUUCGGGACAUCAUAAAUAUUUUCUAUUUCCUCCCUGGCAAAAGAUAAACAUAAGUGCAUUAACUUUCUAGGUCCUUAAUGGAAACUUGGGAAUUAGACCUUCAACAUGGGCCACCUAAUCUGAAUAUUCAAAUAAAUAUUUCUUUCAUUAUCAUGUCUAUGCACCUCACAGUACAAUUGACUCCUCCGUAUUCCAUUUCAUCAGCAUUAAUCACUUGUUUAAUGCAUGUUCAUCUUCUUUUUCUGAACGAGUGAACCUAAAUCAGAUAAAGAUAACUGCAUGAGCACAGGGCUAACCUGUAGAAUUUUCUAUCAGGCUGUCUUUUAGUAACCUGAAAAUGAAAUCAGAGACUUAGCAAAGACUUGCUAGGUUAGUCCAUCGCGAAGUCUUUUUCAUCUGUAUUUACAUUAAGAUAAAAAGAGAAUUUUAUAAAUGCAUGUUCAAAUAUUACAAAGCUAGACUAUUAUGAAUCAAUUAUUGUUUCUUGAAUAAAUAUUUCUUUUCCAAUUGUAGAGAUAUUUACAAUAUCAACACUAUUUUCCUAGAUUUCGUUGCCUUAUUAGAGUUUUGAUCAAAACAUUGACCAACUAGAUAAUAUUGUGCAUGUCCAUUGACUCAAUUUGAAGUGUUUUGAUUGUAAGCUCUCUCCCAGUCGCCAAUAAAAUCCAUACUUUCUUAAAUUAUGUUUAUUGGCGCCAAUAUUUUUUUUGCAAGCGAUUGCGGCACAGCACGUUGGAAAAAGUAGAGAUAAACCAAAACUACUAUAGCCAAUUAUCUUUGAUCAUCUAGUUGUUUCGCCUCUUAUAUUAGAUGUAAUAAAAUAAAUAGACCCGAGUGGUUCGCGGUCUCAGAAUGGAAGUGUGUGUGUGUGUGUUUUUUUCCUUCACUUUAAAAUAGCACAGAAGGUAUUUUAUGGCCACUAUGUUUGCAUCCUCAUAAUCUAAGUGAUCUCGUGGGUAGUCUGUAUUGGCAUUAAAUCUAUUCCCAUGUUCUGGUGUUUCCAGUUUUUGCCAAUUUCUUGGGUAAAAUCUCCCAACUAUCUUAAAGAUAAAGAAAGUUUUCUUGGAUGCUUCUUGCACGAAAAAUGGACAGUCCAAUUUAUUAAACUAUGAAGCACUAAUAUUUCUUCAAAGCAUAAAACAACUAAAAAAUUAGUAAAAAUGAAUGAAAACCUGCUUUGGGCUUCUUGUUUUCAGUAAUCUCCGAUACAUAACUGAUAAAUCUACUAAAGUAGCAUAUCAUCAAAUUUCUUCCUCUGCUAACCUUAUCCUUAUUGAAUAUCUAAUUAUAUAAUUGUUGUAUUUGUUAAUGUAUUCAAAAUAAAAUUUCCACAGUGAACAUCUCACUACGUCAAUGACAUGGUUUGCUAGUGAUACAAAUAAAUUUUCAUGUCAAUUUUAACAAUUUAUAGGCCUCAAAUCCCUAUUAGAAUUUCUUUCAGUUGUGCUGGAGCAUCUUGAGUUUAAACCUAUUAGGUUCCCAAACACCUGAGGUCAAGUUCCUCUCCUCUGCAAGAUAUUUAUAGACAAAAUGAAGUAUUCUAUUUAAUAUUUUAUUUUACUUUUAACAAGAAAGAACGGUAAAACUGUUUUAGAACGUGCGCAUAAGCUAUAAUUAGGACUAAUAAAGAUUUGUUAAGUAAGCCCGACGUCAAGAGGUAUUUUAAAUUCAACCUUAGUAAUUUGAUGCUCUACAUCAAUGUCUGAAUGAUAUAAUGUAACCAUAUGUUAAGAAUUAUGUCAACCAUUAUAUUACUGUAGCAUGAUUCAUAGGGAAAUGGGUUAGGAGAAUCUUUUCUCGCUAGCAAUUGUCGUAUCUUUAUAGUUGACAACAUAUUACUCGGUAUUUCUCAAUGUACAUGCCCUUGAAUAAAUGGACUGAAAGUACUAAGAAAGAGAAAUAAAUUCUAAUUCAUAAUUCAUUGAAGGUUGUCUGAGAAGGAAACUCGAGCAGAUGUAGAGGAUAAGCCAGUUUCUGGCGCAUCAGACAAAUGAAUGAGGAUUGAGUUUUACUUGAAUUAAGUUUCAAGUAUUAGAACUUCUCUCUGACUAAUUGAAGAUUCACUAACGAGUUGAGCUGACUCCCUCCGCCCCAUUAACUAGUUGAGUUGGCUACGGAUGAACUGUAGGAGCGAGUCGAUCAAUCACAUGAGUCGGAUCGCGAGACUAGAUGAUUUGGAUUUCCAUCUUAAAAUGUCAACCUUGUUAGAAGGAAUAAUCCAAACCCUUAUAGGUUGGUUUAUAUAUCUUUAUUCGAUGUGUGAUUUUAUCACUUAACAUGCCGAGUAAGAUGGUCGAACCAAUCUUGAAAUUCAUGUGCUCAUUUUUUUUAGUCUUAAUAGGAUCGAAUCGCUCAUUUGAGCUUAAUAGACUCUAAUAUCAUGUAAAGAUUUGAAAUUCCAUCUUAAAAGGUCAACAUUGUUAAUAGAGGUAGUUCAAACUCUUAUAAAUUGUAUUAUAUUCUUAUCUUUAUUCUAUGUGAAAUUUUAUCCCUUAACAUCUAAGCUUGCAAAAUAGCAAAUUGCUUAGUAAAUGAUGGACCCGAUCAAUUAAAUAGAUAUCAACAUCUUACCUUUGUUUAUGGGCAUUGAGUUGGAAUGCUUUGAACUUUAGCUUGAGAAUAGACUACUCAAUUGAAGUGUUGUAAUCAGUAUUAAUAUUCCGUCGACUUUGAAUACAAUUUACAAUUUAUAACAUUCACAGAAGGUAAUAUGUAACCUUUUUUAUAAUUUUACGUAAAGAAGAAAGUUUUGUCGAUAAAAUAAAUUUAUUUCCUCCAAAUCUUCAUUACCAGUUUGAAAAAUAUAUAUAUACUAGUCUUACGCCCCUGCAAUGCAUGGGCUUUGUAAUUUUGAAGAUAAUGUUAGUGUAUCGAAUGUUAAGGGUUAACGGGAAAAUGUAUAUUAUAAAAUUUCCAUAUACACGUUCAUAGAAAAUACUAAAUAGAGUUCACAAAGAACAUAAUUAUCAGUCUAUAAGUAAAUUUGGGGUCCAUACAAUUAGAUAGAAAUCAGGAUUCUAGUGAAACUAACAUUCAUUUUUAUUUCAGUUACUUGAAACAGCUAACAUGUAAUCAAAUCAAUGUACCAUAAUUUUGUUGUGAAAUCAAAAGUCAUUGCCUCGUGUUCAUGCUCAGGUCAUCACUCGCCUAAUCACUUUGACAAUUACUUUUGUGGUGGGACAUGGUAAAUGGUGGUGCCAGUAACUAAGCUUACCUGUUACAAAGGAAAUUGUAGAAAACCAUUUUAGGACCAAUGUAUUACAAAAGAAGCUAGUAAAACAAAAGAACUCUUACGAAAAAGCAACACAUGAAACAUAAAAAAAAACAAACGUUUUGAGAGGAAUGCUAAAGACAACAUUUAUACAAUUCAAAUUCUACUGAAAAAUUAAAACGAGCUCAACAUGUGGAAGCUUUUGACAAUCCAACAGUUGCAAUUAUAUAAUUUCUUACAACCUUGUACAUAGAUCAGAAGGGGCCAUAAUUACAUAGUUGAAUUAGUUGAAGUUUCAAAAAUAAAGAACCAUAAAACAUAGAAUGCUCUUUGAUGUGAACAAAUUUCAGAGGAGGCAAUCCCGAAGUCAAAUGCUUAAUGGAACCAAAACAAUAGAUGAAUACAUCCUGAAAAUUAUAAUACGUGAAUCUAAUAAACGAUUAUUUUCAGCCAUGAGAUAUUAAGCUUUAUUUUCAUACUUGCUUAUUAAUUUGAGCUUAUAAGUUGCGACAUGUAGCAUUCCAAUAGUCCUAACUUCCUUAAUAUCGAUAUGUAAAUAGAAAUAUGCCAUUGAGACAAUUAACACAUAACAAUAAUGUCAUAAGGAUUUGUUCACUAUCCCCAGUCCUGAUCAAUUAUCAAUUGUUUGCGGCAAAACAUUUGAGCAAUGAGAAACCUGUCCAUGACAUUCUAAAUUAUUAGAAUAAAAACAUGGUUGCAGGCUUUACCUCUUCAUUAGCUUGACUUUCCGUCACCGAGGUUCAUGAAAAAGGAAAUUGUUAAUUGAACAAAGAGAAAGGAACCUAUUACACAGAGUUGCACAGGCUCAUUUCAUAUAAUAAGGGUUAAACCUGUGAAUACACGCCUCUCGACAACUUUCACGAUACUCUCGAUGGAUGUUUUGUCUUAAAGCCUAUAGAAAAUUAUUAUUAAGAGAUAAUGAGAAAUGGAAAGAAGAAUUGGAAGAAAUUCAAACCUUUCCAUUAUAUCGUGUAUCUAAUUUACCUGGAACUCAGAUAUCUUGUUUUUGAACUUCUUCAAAACCCUACAUUAAAAUAUAAUCACUUCCUUCACAUGUUCUCACAUAAUGCAUGUCUUCAAAUUAAGUCCUGAGAGAUAUUUAAAUCAAGAAAAGAGACUGACAACCCCAUUAAGUGACUUCCUUGACCACCUUACUGACAAAAUUGAACCAAAUUUCUCAAAAAUUCUAAAGAAAACCGAUAAAGGAAAGGCCAAAAGGGCAAAAAAAAGAAAAAAAAAAAAAGAAAAAAAAAUGCAACCUUAACACAAAAAAAAUUUAAAAAAUAAUCGAAAGAAUAGCCAUUGGGUGAAUAUACAGAUCUCCAUAAAAAAGAAAAAAAGGGUAUUAGAAAAAUUCUCUUUCAUUGAAAUUCCAAUAGCAUUGCAACAUAAGAUUUUUACAAAAGGAAAUUUAAAAGUCAUACCUGAUUGUCUUUCGAAGAUAUAAGAAAAUGAUUAUAUCAGAUUCUAAGUCUGAAAAGGAUAAUUACAUUAAAAAAAUUUCCAUCCAAAAAAAGGAAAAGAGGGGAGAAAAUUGAGUUUUGAAGGGAAAAUGAGAGAGGAAAAAAAAAUCUAUUUCUAAAUAAUGCAGCAGCUUGUAAGCAAAUGAGUGAGUUUCAUAUUCAUCAUAAACAGUUAUAGAAUGUUUAUUCUCUUUGGCUAAGAAUUACUGGCUAGAACUAUGCAGCGAAUGCAUGGAUUUGAGAUACCAUAGAACCAAAUCCUUAGACGAAAAUUGAUUCAAAAAUCUAUCCUUUGUAUGUGGCGUAAUGAAAUAGCAAUUACCUCAUUGACAGAUGAAUUUGGACAAUUGAUGAAAAUUCUGGCAGAAAAAUAGAAAUCCAAUCUCCUACAUAAUAUGAAAAAACUUGAAAAUUUCUAAAUAAUUUCCCAUUCUUUCUUAACUUCUUAUCUUUUCUUCAUAAUCAGACGGUUUGGUGUCAAAAUCCUUCCCAUUUCUAACACAAUGCAAACCCAUUUAAAAUAAAAAAAAUAAAAAAUAAAAAAUAAACCAUCAAUUUUCACUUUUGGCUUUUGGCACAAAUGAUUGCAUAUGUAUUUAAAGAUAAAAUAAGGUCAAAAAAAAAAAAAUCAAUCAACACUAAAUUAAUCAACAAAAUAACUGAAAUUUAAUUAAUUUAUUACCAAAAAAACAUUAAUGGCAAUUUGAUUCAAUUCUUUCCUUCUGAAUUUGCUACUUUUGCUUCUCGAUAGAGUCAUCAGUCCUUUGUUGUUAGGGAUCACAGAGGAGAAUGUGAAUAGUUUAAUCACUUUCAUCGCUUUCUCCUCUCCCUAUUCAUAAUUACUAACUAAAAAAUGAAAUAAUAUUACCUAUUUACUAGUACAAUAUUCUUGUUAUGGUUUAUUUGUACAAGUUGAGACGAACGCCGAACAAGUUAAACAACCAACAAAAAGCAAUAAAAUGAAAUAGAGAAAUCAAAUAAAAUACAAACAGAUAACAAAAAGCGAGAAUGAGUUAUUUGAAAACAAAAAAGAAAAAAAAGGCAAAUAUGAAAUCGACAUACCUUAUUUUGAUACUCUUCAAUUUGUACGUGAAUCUUUUCUUUCCUUGCAAAGAACUUCGAACAUAGAUGAAAAAGAACGAAAACUUCAGAGUAGAUAUGAAGAUAAUUCAACAAAAAAUACACAGAAAAAUAAUAAAGGAAGAUACUCGAGGUCCUCGAAGUCCAAUUUUUGUCGAAAUUUUCUGGUAUUUUGGGAACGGUUUGUUAAAUUUUCUGAAAAGAGAAAACAAAAAAUUUGAAGAUUGACAACAAAAAAUAGAAACUAACAUACCUGAAGUAAUCAAACUCGAAUUUCUUUCAAGAUUCUAUGGUAUUUUGGAAAGCUCUCAUUUCCCUAGUGAUCUUAUUGCCUGCAUCAGACAAUAAGAUAUAUCAUAACACAGAGAAAGCACUUUAUUAAUUAAACACCAUGUAUGGUCUUUUUCAGUUCUUUCGUUAGGUCAAAGAAUACCUCUGUCUAUUCACUCUUUAUCCCCUUUUGGCCCAAUAAAUGCAUUCCUUCAAUUUCUCUAAUAACAUCAACUCUCUUAAAAUGAACGUGUUGUAAAAUAAUAGUACUUAAUAACUGAUAAACAUCACGAAUUAACUCCAUUCUAUGUUACAAAAUUAAUAUUUCUUACACCUUGUAACUAAUUGCUUUGACAAAAGAAUUUAAUAUACAUUUAAUUAUAAGAGAAAACUAUCUAAUACAUACAUUAUGUGCAGUUAUAGAGGUUAUAAGAUAGAUCUAAAUUUCGAUCCAUGUAUUCUAAUGAAACAUUAAGUAAAAGCUUUUGUCCUACUUUAACCAUUUUAGUUACAACUCUUAGUAUUAGCUACAAAAAUGAUUCUACCUAAAUAUGAAAACCUUGCCACUUCAACCAUGCAACAUCAUCUUUGGCUAAGUUUUAAAGAACGGCCAUGUAAAAGAAUGUUAAUGAAUCCAAAUGUACCUAAAUAUGAGAACUUAGCCACAGUAUACCAAACACCAUGUACCAUAAUAUCACUAAAUUAAAAUUAAACCCGAAAUGAAAUAAAAUAAGAAAACAAGCAUAAAUGGCAAAGAAAGCAAAUAAUGACCAUUUGUGUAGAAUUGAGCAACAAAUUCUACUGUCGUAAGGAAAUCAUCUACACUCGAAAAAAUAGUAUUAUUCAUCUACAUAUAUAUAGAUAUCUUCAACAAAACCAGUGAAAAAUAUCCUAGGGAAUGCAAAAGUUAUUAACGAAUAUUUUAGGCGUUGGGAUUAUCCUAAGAUCCAUGAAUUCCACAUGUAUGAGGAGUACAAAUAACAAAUUAUUUUUUAGGAAGAAAAACGAAGGGAAGAAAGCUGACAACAACUUAUCAAGUAAGGAAAUAUCAAAAGGAACGUUUGGUUUUUCUCCGUAUGCUAAUGGCUUAAUGCCCAUUAUUUGCAUCACCGUAUGCCUUGGGUUUCUUGCUAGGAUAAUGCCAUUUGUACAAUGACUUUUGACAACAUUGUUGACGAUGUUGUAUAUGUCAUAAAAGUGUUAGUAGGAAAUAUAAAUUGUUUUUUAAAUUAUCCAAUGACAACGUGACCCAUUGCAUGUUGUCAACAAUAUUGUAAAAAUGAUUGUACACCAAGCAUGAUUGCGCUUGCUAUCGCUUGAUUGCAGAUGAUGCAAAUGACAAUGAGAAAGUUUUUCCAAUUUAUCCCCUUCACUUGAAUUUUCUGGGGAAGCAAAUAUUAUUAGCUAAUACAUGCAUGUACAAUAAUUAAACAUGCAAUAAUUAUACCAUUGCAGUCACACCAGCUCAAUCCCAGAGUAGUACUAAAAGAAAGUAACAAAAGAAACACCAAAGUCUCGAUACUCUUAGUAAGUCAAAUUGUAGCAUGCACGUCAAAUGUUAUUAAAAACAAAGUUUAAUGUAUACAGGUCCAAAAUAUGAAGUAAAAUGAGGCCAAAUGAACUUCUGGGUAGCUACUUACUAACUGUACAUGCAAAACCAAAGAAGCUUCUCCCUACCCACCAAAAGAAUACAAAAAGAACGAAAAACGAAAAAGAAAGAAAUUACCAUUUAUUUAGAAGUAGACUUGGCAGAGACACAGAGUUUCAUUAUCAACAUGCCAGCCACUUGAACAGAGUAACACACAUCAACUUUUAAGUUCUAUCGUGUUAUGAGAGAGCAAAUGUCAUGACAAUGAGAUUCAGGAUUAAUAAAAAUUGCAAUCUCAUCCUAAUGAGAUCAAUGAAUAAAAUCCAUCCAUUUAAUAAUUUCUGACAUUGUUUAGCUAUCAAUAAGAUAUUCUUAUGUUAAAAAUUUCACUUCCAUUAUUGAAUUUUUAUUUCUUAUAAUCACAGCAGCACAAAUUUCGGUGAUAUUUGUCCUAAAUUCUUUACAUGAAUCAACAAUGCCGAAAUCUUGUAAAGCUAGCCUCUGUGACCUGAUGUAUAGAUUUUCUAGACCACUUUACCUCCUAACGUUGACUAUUCUGGUGAGACUCAUGCCAAUUGUAAAAAUGAGGUAUUAAGACUUGAGUUUAACAAGGAUGUGAUUCUGUCAAUCUUUUCUCUUUUCUCUUUUCUUUUUUUUUUCUUUUUACAAUUUCAAGUUUUGAUAUCAUACUUGAUUUUGGUACACUAUUUUCAGCACGAGGAAAUGUCCACCAUGCUUGUAGUGUUUUAUUGACAAAGCUUUCUUCUGCAUAUGUAAAAACUUUGACAUAACACUAUCCAUUUGUGAGGAUUAUAAUAUUUGAAAUUGACUCCACCAAGCAAUAUUUCCUGAAAUCAAAGCAAUAAGUCGUGUGUUAAUAAUUUGUUCAUAUAAGAAUUGAAGAGUUUUUGAACGGAUGCAUUUCGCAAUUAAAGAAGCUUUAAGCAUCUUCAUAUUCUGGUAAGAAUAUUUACUACUCGGGUAACAAUCAAUAACUAUCUUCUUUGCACGACUUGCAUGAUAGUUGCAACUGACAUUUUCAAUAGGUAACAAGCAGUAGAUUCAUAUAUAAUAUUGGCACUCUGAACUCAAUAUUCGAUUUGAAUGAUUGACUCAGUGCAUGUAUUUAGGGCUGUGCUGUGAUGAGAAAUUGUAAUAUCUUGAAUGAUCGACAAUGUGUUUUUUCUACAUCAGUAUGUUCAAUAUAUCUAUGUCGCAUACUCCAAGUGACCAAUUGGAGUCUUCAUUGUUUAGACACGGAAGUUGAUUUCUGGUAUUGAACAAAGAAUAGCUUUUCCUUUGUCAGAUAACUGUUAUAGUGAUAUUUGAACUACUAAAAUAACUUCAUCAAGUGCAGAAUGGUCACAUUUAAUCUGGUGAAGAAGUUCAACAACUUUCUUUUCCCUGGAGAUCGGAUUUUCACUGAUGGACUUUUGCUCAUUUAAGAACUUAAUUAGGUUGUGCCAGGUAAAGUGAAGUUGGCAUUAAAUUUAAGUACAGGAAAUGCUUGAUUGGAGGAAGCGAUAUGGAAGCAUCGAAGGAAAACAAGUCCAAGAAAUUUAAGUCUCAUAAAUGCAACUUUUUCUUACAUGGGAGCAAAGAACAUAACAUUGGAGGUUAUAUGAAAAAAUGGAAUAUGCAUUUUUAAUAUGGGGUUCUGAAUGCUACGAAGUGUUGCUGACAAUUCAGUACCAGUGGAUAACUAAUAGAUAAGGACUAAGUGCAUGAUUGAGCCCCAUUUUUGGCUAAUAAUGGAUUUUGAAAUAGUAGAUUGAUGGAGAAUGUGUAGUUAAAAAAUAAAGAAAAGUUUUGAGUUGUGUAAUAUUAUUUUAUUGAAAAAUACGUGGUUGAAAAAAAAAAGAGCAAAAAAUAUAUUUUAAAAAUAGUGGAAAUCAAACAAGGACUAAAAUGAUUUCGAUUAAAGAAAAUUGAUAAUUUUUCGAGAUUUCACUUCAAAGAUAAUACCUUAAAGGUUUGUUGUCCUUGAAUGAAAGAAAAAAUAUAUUAAAAAUAUAUUCACGUAGUUUUCCUUAUUAUAUAACUUAAAUGACAUGAAUAUAGAGGAAAACUUUAGACUAAAAGAAGAAAACUGUGAAAGAAGUGUGUUUGUCCAUGUGGUAAAAAAUGGAAGAUUGCUACACUAAAUACAAUUAAAAUUUUUUUAGAAAUAACUGAAACUAUAGCCAUUUGCUUAUGUUACCUUGCAUCAAGACUCGAUUAAGGAUGUGAAUAUAAUGUGGAAUCUUGAGCUCUUUGAAUUUAUAAUUGUUGCUUCAACCUUUAUAUUUGACACUCCCUAUGGCAUUAAGUAAUUUGAAGUUAUCCUAAAAAAUAUAGAGGAGAAUUGUUGAAAGCAUAUAUUGAUAUGGCACAUAACAUAAACACCAAUGCAAGUAGUGAAGGCAAACUAAAAAUAUAUAACUUUCACACCCUCUUGUUUGCUACCUUGAUCAAAAUUUGGGUGACAUCCUCAUAGAAGGUGACAUACUCUUUGGUCAAAUUUUGAACAGGAAAUCCAAUUUUUUCAUCCUCUUUUAUCUGGAACAGUUCGAGCAUAGCGGUUUAACCAUAAAAUAUACACGAAAACUCAAACACUAUCAACAGAAAAACUACUGACUUACAGAAUUAGUUCAAAUAUUGAAAAACACAUAAAAAGUAGUCACAUUAAUCCAUUUUUUUUAUGUCUUGAUUUAUAUAGGAUCUCCAUUGUAAUUCUUACAGGCCUAAAUGUAUCCAACAUCACUCUUCAUGGUGUACGGCACCAUGUCAUCGAUCAACUGAUGCUCAUGUCUUGGGGAAACAUAUAUGUUUUAGAAAACAAUGUGAAUGGGCACGUUAAUGUUCUAUACAUCAAAGAUAUAAAAGCAACCUUAGUGAAUGUUCUUCAGAUUAUUCCUUCCACUUCUCUUCAUGUACCUCCUAAAAUAUAUCUGUGAACCUGAAAUAGUGAAAUAUUAAUGUAAAUGUUAGUAUACAGACAUACUUCAUUUUAUUAAUAUUAUAACAAUUGACCAAGGUUUUCCUAAAGAAAUCACAGCCAUCAUACUUCUUAAGAGUUGUACUCUUUGUGCUCAAGUAAAGACGCCGUUUUUUGCAAUGUCAUUGCCAUUGAUGAUUCUGCAAAUGCUUGAAUAGACUGAAAAAUUUUCACAAAAAUUCCAGAUGAUGAGGCAAAAGAAUAUAAAAGUGCCAUUAGAAAAAUUUCAAUAUACAAGCGAGUUGUGUAAAGACAAACUUGAUGAACAUUAUACAUGGCCAGGGCAACACCAGAUCCUUUAAAGUCAUAGACAUCCAGUACUUCCAUGGGUCUCUCCCCAUUUUGUGGCUCUGGGACUGAACAGAGAAUGAGCAGAAGAAACAUGUAAAGAAUGGUUUGUCCAAAGAUAUGCUAAAUUUUCUUCCAAUAACUACAAAAAAGUGAACUGAACAAAUACCAUUCUAAGGUUUUCAGAUCCUUUUAUGAUUAAAUCAAUGGAAAAAUAUUGAUUGCCAAAGGCAUUUCUGCGAAUACAAAUAGGUUUCUUCCAGCCUACAGAAAAAAGGAUCAAAGUAAAUAAUUGGUGGUUUCAUAUAUUGUAAAUAUAUACCAAGGGGAAGAAGCAGGAGUACAAGGAACAAUUUUGGGAAUGUUGUUGAACAAGAUUGGCAAACUUAACUUCUAUAAGAACUUUCAAAUAAAAAUACAAAAAUUAAGAAAUGACCAAUGGUGGGAGAAUAAACCUUGAGGACAAAAUUCAGGUUUAAACAUGGGAGCCCAUGGUAGUACAGUAUUCAUCAAAAUCUGUCAAUCACAAACGUCAAAUUAAGCGCUCAUGUGUAUCAAUUGUAGCAAGUGAAAAGCAAUGAUAACCUUUUUCGGAAUUUGCAUUUGGGUAUUUAAUAAAUUAUCCGACUUGAAACAUUUUGUUCUCCUUCUUAAAGUUAAAUAUAAUCAAAGAGCCAAAUAUGGGAAGAACAAAUUUUAAGUCUUUUCAGUUCAGUUUCUUACAAAAAAUGAGGAAAAAAACACAGAUUGAACAAAAAAUCUCAUAUUCAAUAUGACGGCUGCAGAAAUAAAAAACUUAUACACAACACGAAGAAAUUGAACAAAAAAUACAAAAAAAAAAUAAUAAUAAUAAUAAUAACAACAACAUGAAAAUGAUAGACUUUAGGUAUUUUGGGUUCGACCUCUCAGAAGAAGGAAAAGGGGGAACAAAAAAAUGCAAAUUGGACAAGAAAUCUCAUAUUCAACACCACAGCUACAUAAAUUGAAAAAUAUAUACACAACAUCCUAAACCUAACCACCCCUUGAAACAUGACUUUACGUAUUUGGGUUUGAACUCUUCAAAGAUCAAACUAAAAAUAAAAAAUAAAAAAAAUUGAAAACUAAGCAUAUAUUGAACAAUACAACUCGACAAAUUAGAAGCAAUAUACAUAAGAGAAAGAAAUCGUAGCAGUGAAGAUUAUACUUACAGGUAUAUGUCUCAGUUGCUUCAGGUUUUCCUGAAUUUCUUGCUACAAUGGUGCCUAUCGCGAGAGAGAGAGAGAGAGAGAGAGAGAGAGAGAGAGAGAGAGAGAGGGAGAGAGAGAGAGAGAAAAAAUAGAGAGAGAGAGAGAGAGAGAGAGAACAAUUAGGGUUAAGAGGCGGAGAAAAUGGGUAACCAAAUGCCGAGUCUUGCAUUUUGUCCUUUCUUUUCCCAAACGGCGUUGUCUAGGCCCAACUAAGUUAAUGAUCAGUAAAAAUCGGAUUGGUGCGUGCACGGAGGACAUGACGGAGAUUUACUACAUGUUGCGUCUUUUUUUUUUUCACUUAUAUUUUUGUGUUCAUUUUUAAACUCAUUAUGGGAUAUUAAACGAAAUCGAAAUAUUACAUUCUUAAUAUCAUGUUGAAGUACUCGCGACAUAGUAUUGCACGUCGUUAACGGUGCGUGAAACAGCUAAUCGUAGCAAAUGUUACUGGACGUCAAAAUAGGCAUUUUCAAACUAUUUUUCGAAAUUUUCGAUAAUAAGCUAACUCUAAAAAUUCAUCGACCAUUAUACGAUAGUCGAAUCGAUAAAUGUUUUACAUUCUCUCGAAACUCAUUUCGAAAAAUAUAUCAUAGACACAUCGAAUGAUGUAAGUUAAUAUCAAAAAUAGUUAAACGGACAUUAAACGUAUGUGUUAAAAAAUGCGUAUAAAUCAUUUUUCUUCAAGAAAUCAAUUAUUUUAUUACUAUUUAUUAUUUUUUCGCAACAAUUCUCUCAAUAAAUCAUUUUGUUCAAGAAAAAUUAUGUGGUAUGACGUAAAUUUUUUUUUUCAUGCACGGAGUGAAUAUUUUUUUUUUACAUUUUAUUUACAAUAAGUUUUUUUAUUAAUAUAAUUUUAAAAAUUUAAAUAUAUAGGAUAUGAUUGAUAGUUAAUAACGUGAGAAUUAAAAGAAAGAGCAUGGUGUAUUAGAUUCAAAGUAAAGGAGAAAUAUUGCAGUAGACGUGAUAUUGCACUCAAAUGGCAUGUGAGAAAAUUUCUACAGUGUUUUUGAAUAAAAAUUUUUCUGUUGCCAAACCAGUUCCCAAACUGGUUAAGUUAUUUAAAAGUAAAAGAAGAGAUUACACUAUCUAAAAGAUAAAAAAUUACUUAUAAGUAAAAAAAUCACUUGAAGUUAUUUAAAAUAAAAAAAACUUAUAAUUGUAAAAGCUACUGAUAGGUAAAAAAAAUAUUAAUCCCUCAUUCUCUUAUAAUUGCAAAAGCUACUUAUAAAAAAAAUGUGAACUUAAAAUUUUUUAAGUAUAAAUAUUUAUAUAUAUUUAUUUUUUAAAAUUAAAUAUUAAUAAAAAGAUUAAACUAUUUAGAAUGUAAAAAGUUACUUAUAAGUAAACAAAUCACUUCAAGUUAUUUAAAAGUAAUAAAAAAAUUAUAAUUGUAAAGGUUACGUAUAGGUAAAAAAUAUUAAUUUCAACAUUUCUAAGUAAAUAUUUAGAUAUAUUUAAUUUUUUUAAUUAAAUAUUAAUAAAAAAUGUACUACAAAUAAAAGUAAAAAAAAAAAAAAAAAAGUGCAUAUUGGUGCUUGAACUCCCCGCACGCAUUGCUAAAUUUUUUUUUUUAAACUUAUGUUUUUGUGUUCAUUUUUAGGCUCAUUACGGGAUAUCAAACGAAGUCAAAAUAUUAUAUUCUUAAUAUCAUUUUGAAGUACUCGCGGCAUAGUAUUGUACGUCGUUAACGGUGCGUGAAACGGCUAAUCGUAGCAAAUGUUACGGGACGUCAAAAUAAACAUUUUCAAACUAUAUUUCAAAAUUUUCGAUAAUAAACUAACUUUAAAAAUUCAUUGACGAUUGGACGAUAGUCAAAUCGAUAAAUGUUUUACAUUCUCUUGAAAUUCAUUUCAAAAACUAUAUCAUAGAUACAUCAAAUGAUCUAAAUGAAUAUCGAAAAUAGUUAAACGGACAUUAAACGUAUGUGUUAAAAUAUGUGUAUAAGUCGUUUUUCUUAAAAAAAAAAAAAAAAAUUAUUUUAUUACUAUUUAUUAUUUUUUGGCUACAAUUUUCUCAAUACAUCAUUUUGCUCAAGAAAAAUUAUGUGGUAUGACGUAAAUUUUUUUCUCCAUGCACGGAGUGAAUAUGUUUUUUUAUAUUUUAUUUACAAUAAUUUUGUUGAUUAAUAUAAUUUUAAAAAUUUAAAUAUAUAAGAUAUGGUUGAUAGUUAAUAGCGUGAGAAUUAGGAGAAAGAGCAUGGUGUGUCAAAUUCAAAGUAAUGGAGAAAUAUUGCAGUGGACAAUGGCGUUUGACAAAAUUCCUACUAUAUAUUUGAAUAGAAUUUUUUCUGACAAAAUUCCUAUAGUAUUUUUUAAUAGAAUUUUUCCUGUUGCCAAACUAGUUCUCAAACCGAUUAAGUGUGAAAACGAGUGAACAAAAAAUGAACAGUAAACCCUCAUUCUUUCUUUUAUGGUAGUGUAUGUAUACACACACAUGCAUGCAUGUGUCCAAGGGUGUACCGAAUGUAAUUAUGGUUGAUAAUUGUUGGGCUGUAAUGCCAUCACAUCUGUAAGUGGGGCGAUGAUAGUAUCAUGGGCUUGGCCCAUUUUGGGUAUUUGAUCCAUUACAUGGUAUUUUAAAUGUGGAGGCCCAAUACCCAUACCCAAUAUAUGGAAAAUCACAUUUUGGAAGAGCAAUUUUAGUUGCCAAUUAAUGCUGAAGUCACUAAUUGCCCUCGACCAUUGAUCAUCAUCCAAAAUCAAUGGUGAUGGUGUAAAGUAUAAAUGGGGUCUUACGUUGUUGCCCUAAUUCACUUGUACUUUGAUAUUUUUUGGUGUUUUCUGGAAUUCUCACUAAGUUAGGUUUGUUUCUUUUGUCUUCUUUCGAUCAUCUUUAACCUCUAUUUGGAAAGUUUCUUGUGGUUUUCUGAGUGAAAUUUGAGUUUCUGUGGUUGAUAGUGAGAGAAAAGUGUAGUUUCAAGUUCAAUGCCUUCUGGUCCAUAAAAGAAGUGUCUUCUAAUCCACUAACAGUUUAGGUUUGAGGUUUCUGGUUUGUAAACAAGGGUAUCCGAGAUACCUUAGGUUGUGUCUUGAGUUGUAAUCUUUGAUAUAAAAAUUUUGUAUAGUUUGGUUCGAUUUUUGUUCUAAUAGUAACUCGAUCGAUUGGUAAGUUAGAUUGAAUAAUAUUAGAUAAUCCCUCCUUAUCUUAAAAGAGAGAAUAUAAGGCUUACAGUUCAUUUUUGUCCCAUAGAUUUUCACAUGAAACUGGUUUGAAAUUAGGCUGACAACAGUAAAUUAUACCAUUCAAUGGCACUGUAGCAUUUUUUUCACACGUCAUUUCACUACAAUUAUUAAAAAAAGGAAUUGAGGGCAAAUAUAGAAAAAAAUUAUUAUAAAUUUUUUAAAUUAAAUUAAAAAUAAAAAUUAUUUAAUUUAAAUUUAACAAAUAACGUUCUAUCAUAAAAGAAUGGAUAAAUAUUAUGAUCAAUGAAAUAAAUAUUAUUUCAGUUCAAUUCCUAGUAUAAAAAUAUGGCUUGUAUCUGCCCAAUGUAAAUCAUCAAUGAAAUAUGAAUUCCUUCUUCAAGUUCCUUUCUCUCUCUUUCUCUUUCUUUGGUUAAUUUUCUCCGGUUAAUCUUGCAAUUCAACACGAAUUGUAUUUUUGUAACUUAUUGAAUUUAUUUCUUGCUCGACUUUCUUUUUUCAGUUUCCGUUUCCGUUUAAUCUUAAAGGGUUAGGGUUGUAGAGUUGUCCUCUUUUUCUUUCUGUCUGUUAGGGAUAUUAUACGGAUUUGUGUUUGUGAAAAUGGCCUUCGAUUUGGUGUUUUUAGUUGAUCGUAUGCUCAUUUUUUAGGGAUUUGAAUGUCAGUUUAUUUGUGAGUGUUGUAUAUCUGUAUUUGUACCUUUCGAGAAUUUGAUGGUGCCUCUCCCGGCUGGCUUUCUUGGAUUUAUAUAUUUUCAUAUUUUGUCAAUUUAUUUUUCCCCUGUACUCUACCAGCAAAAAAUUGAUAAAAGAUGUGAUAAAUUAAGUGAAAGGAGUAAUAGAUAUCUACAGGGAUAUUGAAGUUUGAAUGCAGAUCAGCAGUUGUUAAUUUUAUUGCUACAUUUCUCAGGGGUGGGGAAAAGUUGGAAAAUGUAGCUGAUUUCUAGAGAAAUCAAGAUAUAGAAAUUGUUGCCAAGUUCCCCCCUGCUUAUUUCCCCCAAUUGUGGGGUUGGGGAUGUGAGCGCAGAAAAGCUUGCCCCCUGAAUCUGUACUCGUAAUCAAUAGAGUUAUAAACCAUACUUUACCAUAUCCAGCUAAUUUUGUCGGUUAUAUUAUCAAUUUCUUUGAAACAACCCGAACUUUAUAUUUGAUUUUAUUAUUGUAAAUAUUAUCAUAGCUUCAUUGUCGAAAUACGAACUUCUUGUCUACGUCUUACAAUUGGCCAUAUAAAUCCCCACCCCCAACCUUUAUGAACAUAGUUUUUUCGUGCAAAAUUUGUAGUAUCACACGUCAGUUGUAAUCAGUGUAUGCUUUUAUUUGACUCGUUAGACCUUCACUUUGCUAGGCUUGCAGCGUAUACAAUAACAUUAACCAUCCAAGCAAGUUGACAGUUGGAGCGGACUUCCACUGUUUCAAGGAUAAAAUUGAGCCAAAAUGGGAAGAUCCUGAUUGUGCCAAUGGAGGAAAGUGAACUGUGACAGUGAUGUAUGAACGACUUACAAAUAAUAUCUUCUAAUGAGGAUUUGACUUGGAAACAUAAUCUUCCAAUAAUGUGUCAAUUGUCAGCAUGUGACACAAUAACGUAACACAUGGUUAAUUAAAUUCGUUCGGUGUUAAACUACAAGAUAUGUACAUAUUCCUUUUUGAAAGUACGUCUUUAAAUAAAUAUUUUUUUGUUAAUAAUCACGGUCUCUCGAAUACGGCAUGCGCCUUUGCAACUAGCAUGUUUCUGUUGAAUAGUGAUGGCCACUGUUCAUGCAUAGUGGAGAUUAAUUGGUAGAAAGUUUUCCAUUCACAUUUAAUGCAGAGGUUAUCAUGCAUGAGUUUCUUCUCAAAUUUCAAAUGCAAUUGGGAAUGACAUUAAAGUCACUGAAUGGAUAUGCGUGAAUAGCAUUUUGCAGCGAGUUAAGAGGGACAAAAUUGAAAGAUUAUCUCUACGUUGCAAAUAAAAUACAGAGAAUGUAUUUUUGCAUUGCUCUUCUUCUCUUGUUGAUAUAGUGAAAAAUUUGUGUGAGUUUGUGGACGUAGGCAUGAUUUUCGAACCACGUAAAUUAUUGUGUCAUACUUGCAUUUAUUUUUGUUAUCUUCAUUUGUUCUCAUUUUAAAUUAUUUUGCAUCCCACUGAUCUUGACAAAGUUAGUAGCUUUACACUUUCCACCACUAUAAUAGAAUCCUCUUUGCAAAUUUUUUAAUCAAGUUGUUCGGCUAACUUUUGAGUACUAGAAAUGAUUGUACUAAUACGUGAGAUUAUCGCUUAAAGUCUAAAAGCACAUUUUCUCAGUUCCAUACCCGUUGGAAGGUGCAAGACAAGUACAAGAUACAUAAUUAACAACUUUAUUAUAGGCAUGAAGCAAAACACAAUGGAGGAAAAAAAAAGGUUGAACCCCAACCUUGAGAGUCUCCCCCACCCGCCCCGACCCUAGAGUUUUGUGAGGGAGAUAAAUCGCGGGUUGUGCCCCAACAGGCCAGGGAACAAGAACUGUCUGUACACUGCACCUACAAGGAGUUCAAUUUCAUGUCUCAGGAAUCGAACCCCCUCACUGUGGCUACCAACAAGGCGUAAGAUAACCUCACUCCUGUCCUUUGCAUCACUAGGCUAUGCCCUCGGGGGAGGGGGGGCAAAAAAAAAAACACAAUGGAGAAUUCACACAUAAUAUUGAUUGAGUAAGGUCUAUGUCUAAUUCUUUUAGGACAUGUUUGCGCCCAAUAUUGGACAAGCCAGUACAAUGAAUAAGAUUUUAUUUAUUUUUUCUUAAUAUUUUACAGUAUUUUCUUGUUCACCCAAUACCGUGAGGUAUUUACUCUGAGGAUAAUGCAAUAGGACUUCUUCAUGAAUCCCUUCACUCCAACUAUAACAACCAAAUGCAAACUCAUUUUCCCGCAUAGGCCUCUUCACUACAACUGUUAUGUUGAAGCCCCUACUUUUCCGCUUUAGCGUUGAAGUGUAAUGUGGAUGGAGAUAUUUCUAUGGAGUAACCAGGAUUUUUUUUAAUCGUAACUGAGUAGAAGACUUAUUACCAACAUUUGUAACAGUUCGAGCGACAAAGUAUGAAGACUUACUACCAACAUUUGUAACAGUUCGAGUGACAAUCGUGGAUACUUUAAGCUUAGGCGCUUAGCAAUUGCUAGCCAUGGAUAGUUGAGAUUACUUGGCGAAGGAAUAACAUUGGGACACUUGAAAGAUGGAACGAGCAAAUUACAGUUAUUAGGACAGAGGAAGAGAUGAUAGUCAGUAUAAGAAGCAUUAUAAACAAGUCCUGAAUCAACUGCCUUUGAAGGUUGAAUGUGGCCCACGUUAUUAUGUAAAGGAAUAAAAUCUCAUAUCGCAUAAAAAUAAAAAUUUAGACUAACUUAUAAGAAUUUGGGAUAAAGUGUCUUUUUUUUUCUUUUCUAAAUAAAAUUUUUGUUUAAUGGCCCUUGAAUAUUUUGAGUACUCUUAAAGAAAUUUUUUCUUGCUACUUAGGUAACAGGCAUCUCUGCUGUAAGCCGGCCCGUAGUCGAAGCGAAAAUAUUCCAAACGAACAGUAUUUAUUGAAAUCUAAUUCGGGUAACAAGUAGGUGAUUUUCUUCUCCUUGACCAUAUCAACAUUUCAUAGUUGAUGGUUUUUUGUGUUGUGAAUCGAUGGUGAUAUACGCUGAUGUGUUGUUUUGGAUGAAACUUGUGUUAUUUUUUGCUAGGAUUUUAUUUCAUUUCUCUUGAAUGUUUAAGAAAAUGUAGGAAGACAUUUUAAAGGCCGAAAAGAAAGAACACCACUUUAUGGAAUAAAUAAAAGAGAUUCUGCUGGGAGAAUGAUUGAAUUUUUAUAAUUGCAUUCUUUGCAUCAUGACGCCUAAAUAAAUAUAUAUGUAAUUGCUCGCCUCACAAAGCAAAUUGGAACGGGCAGAUAUCUGGACAGUUUAUGGUUCACUAGAUAAAUUGAUAGCUUGUGACACUACGCGACUGCCGGCAAGCACAAAUGGCAAGAUAAACGCACGAUGUGAUCUGGAUAGGAAGCGAGUGAUCCAAGUAUGAGUUUUGCUCGAAUUCUCGUCCAGACAUUUUUGUUGAAGGCGAACCGGUGGCAAGAAGCUGAAACAUUAAAAAUUCUAAUUUUUUUUCUCCAUUUAUGUGGGCUAGUAAUGAAAUCCACUGUGUUCAUAUCUGUAGAAGCAUAUCACUUUUUUAUGACUUAGUCCAAAAGUUCCCAUGAAGAAAUUUACAAGCCAAUUUCCUUCUUACUACUGCUACUACUCUUACUACGUGCCUUUGUAAUACAUUUUAAUUAUUUAAUUAGUAAUAAUUGAAGAAAUGAAUUAAAAUAAAAUCACUUAAGAAGUUUUAAAAUAUAAAAAAAAUGAUUAUUUAAAGUUAAAACGAAAAUGUCACAACAACCAUAUAGACACGUCAUUCUACAAUUAUUUAAGGAAAACAUUACAUAAAACAAGUGAAUACAAUAUUUUCAUUAAUUUAAUGUAAUUUAUGCAAUUGUAAAGUAAAUGACUAAAUAAUUUUUCAGGUUAAUAAAUUGUUGAGAAUAAAAAAAAAUGAAGAAAAUAGUUAAAUACUGUUUAUUUGGUGUAGUGGAUUGGAGAUGAAUUUUAUUUUGGUACAAGAUUUUGGGCAAAAUAGUGCAAAACUCACCUUAAAUUUUGAUUUAGGGUUGGAGAUGGCCUAAGAACUUCAACAAUUAGAACAAAAAUAGAGGACCUCACGAAGAAAAAUAAGCACUUUAUACCUCGUAUGCAUUGAUUGUGGUGUUCAAUAUAGAUAGUUGGUGAUUGACCAGAAUAAGAUAAAAUGACAAUUGGUGAUUGAAAAUGAUAUAUUUAAUAUUUCUAAGAAAGUUGUGAGAUAAUUUAAUGAGAACUUGAACAUGUUUUUAAAUAGAAAGGUUUGAGAAUUCAUUUAUUCUUUUUUGAAAGUUAAAGACUGACCAAGGAACUUCAACACUUAGAACAAUAGUAGCAUACCCCACAAAGAAAAAUAAGUACUUUAUACCUCAUAUACGUUAACUUUGGUGUUCAGCAUGAACAAUUGGUGAUUGAACAAAAUAACAUAAAAUGACAAUUGACGAUUGAACAGAAUAACAAAAAAUGAGAAUUGGUAUUUGGAAAUCAAACAUAUUUCUAAGAGAGUUGUGGAAUAACUUAACGAAAACUUGAAUUUAUAUUGAAGGUCAAGAGUUCAUUUAUUCUUUUUUGAAAGUUAAAGACACACUAAGACCUUCAAAAAUUAGUGAAAAACAAUAAUAACGGACCCAAGAAGAAAAACUAGCACUGUAUACUUCGUAUACAUUGAUUUUGGUGUUCGGAACAUGGCCACAUAGCCCUGUUUUUCCAGGGUUUGUGGCCUUGUUUGAGAAGAUUUAUCCUUUGAAAGGCUCUGUUUGAGAAGAUUUAUUCUUUGAGCGCAAAUAGUUUGAAAAGGGGUCGAAUCUUCAACUUGUUCCUUUAUGUUUAGUAAUUUUUUACUAGUUCAAAUAUAAAAACAACACAAACAAAUUGGUUUGUCAGUCCGUUAUACAAAAGUUAGCCCUUGUUUGGUAGAGAUUAAAAUCGAAUUUUUAGUAAAUUUUGAUAAAAGUUGAUGAAAUAUGUAGUUGAAAAAUUGUAGGUUACAUGAAAUAUGCGGUUAAAUUUGGCUAUACAUAGAUAAAUUAAUAGAACUAGUGCAUAAUUAGUACGUAGGGUACUGAAUAGCCUUGUACAACCUGUAAAACACGAUUUCAUGUAGCGUGUUCACUAAUCAUCUGAAUUCUUAUAUUCUAUUACAAUGUUAAGUCCCUAUUUGAUUUAGCUAAAAAUCAGAUUGAUAAAAAUUGAUUAAAAUUGUGAGUAUCAUAAAAUGUGUGAUUAAAAUUAAUUAUUGAUUUCAACUUAAAUUUUUGUCAACUUUUUUAAUUAAAUGUGAAAGCGUAUGUGGCAUAUGAUCAUAAAAAGAAUAAAAAAGUACCUAAGUUAAAUACAGCCGGAGUAGUUUUGGGCAAAGAAAGAGAACAUUAAGUGCAUGUUUAUACAUAGAACUCGACAAAUUUUUUCUUUAAAUCUUGUCUGUUAUUUUACAUUUAACCUUACUAAACAAGCCAUAAAAAUAUGCACUUUUUCGUAUAUUUAUUUAGGGUAUAUACUGUAUGACACGAAGAUAUAUUUUCUGACAACUUUCAAGAGUACGACAAUUUGUUGAGAGAAUAAUUCUGCAAUCCUAUGUACCUGUUAAUAUCGUCACAGAGAUAUAAGGUUAGGUGGAUAGAGAUCUCUGGAAGAGGUAAACGAAGAGCCAAUUUCUAGUGCAUCAGAAGGAUUAGAAAGGGUCUGAGUUUUACUUGAACUAGGUUUCAAGUCUUCAAACUUCUCUCUGAGUGAUUGAAGCUUCAAUUCAUCUUCGUAGAUGCUUGGAUCUAUCUUAAAUUCCUGAACAUUUAUAUAUCCUUCAAGCAUGCCACAGACCAUGGACAUUGGAGGCCUUAGGGAUGGAGAUGGAUUGGUGCACAAUAGAGCAACUUUGAUCGUUCGUUUUGACUCGUCCAUAUUGAAAUUUGAACCCAACCUUGUAUCCACGAGCUCCAUCAACCUUCCUUCGUUCUGCAAAAUCGUAGCUUGAGACGAAAGGCUAUUGCGUGAGACCUUUCUUCGUGGACAUAAGAACGAAAAAUAGGUUAAUGAGAUAAAACUUCAUUAUCUGAUUUGGAGAAAAUACAAAAAUCUUACCCAAUCAAGAAGGCAAAUGAAACUUUCACUGGGUCGAUAUUUCAUGUUGCUCUUUCCAGAAACAAUUUCUAGUGCAACGACGCCAAAACUGUACACGUCUGCUUUGUAGGUUAAGUAACCCCACAUUGCAUAUUCUGGAGCCAUAUACCCACUACAAAAUGAAAAUGAUCAAAUGCAUAUUAGCACAAGCUUUCGCUCCUAUUUCUCAAAUAAACAAGCUCAAAUUUCAAAUGUUGCACGUGGAUGAUUUGAAUAAUAAUUUAGUGUUGCAAAUGUUGUGAUAGUAAAUAUUCCAAAAGACUUUAAACUGCUUUCAUCUUGUUCAAGUUUGUAUAAAAAGUUCAAUUGUAAGUAAAUAAAGUGAAUUUUUCAAUAAAUAAUUAUUUUAUUGGUCAACUAAAAAUGGUGAGAUGAAGAAAGAGAAAAAAUCUCACAUGGUCCCUGCAACUCUAGUGCUGAUGUGGGAGUUAUCAUCCUCAUCGAGCUUAGCUAAACCAAAAUCGGAAAUCCUUGGAUUGAGGUCUUUAUCAAGAAGAAUGUUGUUAGGUUUUAUGUCUCUAUGAACAAUUUUCAAUGUGGAUUCUUCAUGCAAAAAAGCCAAGCCUCUUGCUAUACCGAUACAAAUUCUUUGUCUGGUUGGCCAG
RNAcentral lists this long non-coding RNA (58460 nucleotides) under Olea europaea (common olive). Its description in RNAcentral is "long non-coding RNA (OEUR_LNC002544)". Lineage: Eukaryota; Viridiplantae; Streptophyta; Magnoliopsida; Lamiales; Oleaceae. The record is from RNAcentral.